UAUAUGACAGAAUUUUGUCGGAAGUCUAUAACCAACGAUGUGAUAAUGAAAGUACCAGAAUGUGAAGCGUAAAAUGGAUUUAAAAUAGUAUGAGAACAGUUACAUGGUAUCCUUUCCGAAAAAGUUCAGUCUUGCCAUGGAACUUCAUAAAUUAAAGAAAGUAACAUCUAAUGCAAACAUGAGAUUAAGCAGCCUAACUACCGAAGCUACUAGCAGCUAACUACAGAUGAACACGAACAUGCAAAGUUCUAAAAGAAGCUUACUCUUUCAGCACCACCAUCAUAGCACACUACGUAUCGCUGUAGUUUCCAAAACCAAGGAAGUCCAUCGCAUUGUUCCCACAAGCAAACAGAGUCAAGAUCAAUUCUGCCAAUCAGAAACCCUUUUGCACUCAACCGCAGCAUCGCACUACUGGGUUGGUGAUCAUAGGACGGAGAGGUGUGUUAGUAAUAGGACGUUGCAAAUUUAUCUCAUCCAAUCUCGACUACACACAAGUGCUUCAAUCGUCUCGAUACUCAGUGUGCUCUGGUGCUUUGGAAUUACUGGCCCGCUGCUACUGAAUGCUGCUUCAGAUUGAACAGCAGAUGCCGGCAUCGCUAAGACGUCCCGGGCAAUAGCAGCAAGUGUGGGGUACUUUGUGGUGUGUUCCAUCCACCAUUUAAGAAUGUCAAAAUCAUCUUUUCUUGGGACUAGAACCUCCCCAAGGUAGUCGUCAAGUUCUGAAGACAUCUGGCAAUUGAGGUGCUCAUCCCAAUCUUCCAAAGGAUCAUUAUCAGCUGUAUCCAGAGCUGCACUCCUUAAAAGACGGACGCCACUCAGCUGCUCUGUAGCAUUGUAGUAUUCAUCGAAGUGUUCCUGGACCGUAUCAUGUAUUUCAGAUAAGUAGCCCAGCGAGUCUGUGUUGUAAGCCCGUUGCAGACGAAAUUGAAUGAAGCUCAUCUUUGUGCGAUAGGCGGAAAGCAUCUUACCCUCGUAUGAGGGGGCGGCGUGCAUGUUUAUAAGCAGGGGCGCACAUCCCUGAUAGCGCAUACAAGUUGUUGAGAUUACAUGCUUGAAGGAGAAGGGAUAAGAGAGAAUAAAGAGAGUUCGGUUUACAAGAGAUAAGUAUCAUCUAUGCAACCGAAAGCACUUAAACACCUAUCUCUAUCUAUCCCUAUGUCACGUACAAUGUUGCGUUUAACACCCUCCCUUAAUCACAACUUCAUCAAGUUGAGAUUAUGCUUGAAGUCUUCAAAACUCCGUGUGGGCAAAGCUUUGGUGAAUCCAUUUGCAACUUGAUCUCUAGAAUGCACAAACCGAAUGUCAAGUUGCUUAUUAGCAACUGUUUCUCUGACAAAGUGGAAAUCUAUCUCUAUGUGUUUUGUUCUGGCAUGAAACACGGGAUUAGCAGAUAGAUAGGUAGCACCAAGAUUGUCACACCACAAACAUGGAGCUUUAGUAUUUCUCACACCAAGUUCCUUAAGAAUGGAUUGAACCCAUAUAAUUUAUGUUGUUGCAUUUGCCAAUGCUUUGUAUUCUGCCUCUCUACUGGAUCUAGACACAGUUGCAUGUUUCCUUGCACUCCAUGAUAUCAAGUUAGGACCAAAAAAUACCGCAAACCCACCAGUGGAGCGCCUAUCAUCUAGGCUGCCUGCCCAAUCAGAAUCUGAGAAGGCACUGAUCAAAGUAGAUGGUGACUUGCUGAAAUUAAGACAAAUGCCCAAAGUAUUUUUGACAUAUCUAACUAUACGUUUUGCAGCAGUCCAAUGAACAGAAGUGGGUGCAUGAAGAAACUGGCAUACUUUGUUGACAGCAAAGGAAAUAUCAGGUCUUGUCAAUGUUAAGUACUGCAAUGCACCUACCAAGCUCCUGUAUUUAGUGUUGGCUUCUUUACUUAGGAGGGUACCUUCUGUAAGAGACAGUUUCUCAGAACUUGACAAAGAAGUAGAAGAGGGUUUACAACCUUGCAAGCCAGCCUUUUUUACCACGCAGUAAUUUCAAAGCUUUCCUACGCACACGCAAGAUCAUGGUGAUGCAUAGCAACGAGAGGGGAGAGUGUUGUCCACGUACCCUCGUACACCGAAAGCGGAAGCGUUAGCACAACGCGGUUGAUGUAGUCGUAUGUCUUCACGAUCCGACCGAUCAAGUACCGAACGUACGGCACCUCCGAGUUCAGCACACAUUCAGCCCGAUGACGUUCCUCGAACUCCGAUCCAGCCAAGUGUUGAGGGAGAGUUUCGUCAGCACGACGGCAAGGUGACGAUGAUGAUAUUCUACCGAUGCAGGGCUUCGCCUAAGCACCACUACAGUAUUAUCAAGGUGGACUAUGGUGGAGGGGGCACCGCACACGGCUAAAAGAUCAAACGAUCAAUUGUUGUGUCUCUAGGGUGCCCCCAUGCCCCCGUAUAUAAAGGAGCAAGGGAGGAGGUGCGGUCGGCCAGGAGGGGGCGCGCCAGGAGGAGUCCUACUCCCACCGGGAGUAGGACUCCCUCCCUUCCUUGUUGGAAUAGGAGAAGAGGGGAAAGAAGUGGAGGAGAAGAAGGAAAGGGGGGCGCCGCCCCCUCUCCUUGUCCUGUUCGGACUAGGGGGGAGGGGAGUGUGGCCCUUGCCCUGGCCGCCUCUCCUCUUCUCCACUAAGGCCCACUAUGGCCCAUUAAGCCCCCGGGGGGUUCCGGUAACCCCUCGGUACUCCGGUAAAAUCCCGAUUUCACCCGGAACACUUCCGAUAUCCAAAUAUAGGCUUCCAAUAUAUCAAGCUUCAUGUCUCGAACAUUUCGAGACUCCUCGUCAUGUCUGUGAUCACAUCCGAGACUCCGAACAACCUUCGGUACAUCAAAAAUCAUAAACUCAUAAUAUAACUAUCAUCGAAACUUUAAGCGUGCGGACCCUACGGGUUCGAGAACUAUGUAGACAUGACCGAGACACAUCUCCGGUCAAUAACCAAUAGCGGAACCUGGAUGCUCAUAUUGGCUCCCACAUAUUCUACGAAGAUCUUUAUUGGUCAGACCGCAUAACAACAUACGUUGUUCCCUUUGUCAUCGGUAUGUUACUUGCCCGAGAUUCGAUCAUCGGUAUCUCAAUACCUAGUUCAAUCUCGUUACUGGCAAGUCUCUUUACUCGUUCCGUAAUACAUCAUCUCGUAACUAACUCAUUAUUUACAAUGCUUGCAAGGCUUAUAGUGAUGUGGAUUACCGAGUGGGCCCAGAGAUACCUCUCCGACAAUCGGAGUGACAAAUCCUAAUCUCGAAAUACGCCAACCCAACAAGUACCUUUGGAGACACCUGUAGAGCACCUUUAUAAUCACCCAGUUACGUUGUGACGUUUGGUAGCACACAAAGUGUUCCUCCAAUAAACGGGAGUUGCAUAAUCUCAUAGUCAUAGGAACAUGUAUAAGUCAUGAAGAAAUCAAUAGCAACAUACUAAACGCUCAAGUGCUAAGCUAACGGAAUGGGUCAAGUCAAUCACAUCAUUCUCCUAAUGAUGUGAUCCCGUUAAUCAAAUGACAACUCAUGUAUAUGGUUAGGAAACAUAACCAUCUUUGAUCAACGAGCUAGUCAAGUAGAGGCAUACUAGUGACACUCUGUUUGUCUAUGUAUUCACACAUGUAUUAUGUUUCCGGUUAAUACAAUUCUAGCAUGAAUAACAAACAUUUAUCAUGAUAUAAGGAAAUAAAUAAUAACUUUAUUAUUGCCUCUAGGGCAUAUUUCCUUCAUAUUUUUCCUGGGAAAGAUGAAGCCCAUCAUCAUGUUUCUUCACUUCAAUCCCUAGGAAAUAAUGAAGAUCUCCAAGAUCCUUAAGAGCAAAAUCUGCACUCAAAUCUUUUAACAAUCUAGCUAUUGCCUCAUUAGAUGAACUUGUCACAAUGAUAUCAUCAACAUAAAUGAGGACAAAUAUGGAUGUGUUCAAUUUAUUGUAAAUGAACAAUGAGGUGUCAGACUUGGACGGAACGAAACCAAGUGUUUGCAUCUUAUGGCAAAGACGUGAGUACCAUGCUCGUGGUGCUUGCUUUAACCCAUAGAUUGCUUUGUCAAGUUUGCAUACAAAUGAGGGUGCAUUUUCAUUUUCAAACCCAGGAGGUUGUUUCAUGUAUACCUCCUCUUCCAGAACGCCAUGCAGAAACGCAUUCUUAACAUCUAGUUGUCUGAGACUCCAGCCCUUGGAAACAACAAUGGACAAAACAAGACGUAUAUUUGCAGCUUUAACAAUGGGACUAAAGGUAUCCUCAUAGUAUAUUCCAUACUGUUGCUUGAAACCCUUGGCAACAAGCCUUGCCUUAUACCGAUCAAUGGUUCCAUCAGAUUUCCUUUUUAUUCUGAAGACCCAUUUGCAAUCAAUAAGAUUUUUACCUUGCUAUGAAGGAACUAGAUGCCACGUGUUAUUUUUCUCUAGUGCCAAAAAUUAUUCCUUCAUUGCAUUUUUCCAUUUUUUUCAUCACGAAGUGCUUCCUCAAGAGUGCUUGGCUCACCUGGUUCACCUAUUGAACAAACUAAUCCAUAUUUUGUUACAUGCUUAUAAUCAACAGGUUUGAUCAAACCUUGUUGUAGCCUUGUUUUUCUUUGUGAUGGUGCAGCAGUAUCAGUUAGCGCAGAAGAUCCUGAAGCAGGAAUAGGAGUCCUGGAUGCUGCAACAUCCGAAGAAGAUUCACCUCGUGCGUCUCCUGGAUCUUCUGUGGCCGCUGAGGGAGUCCUGGAUUAGGGGGUCCUCGGACGGCCGGACUAUAUCCUUUGGCUGGAAUGUUGGAUUAUGAAGAUACAAGAUUGAAGACUUCGUCCCAUGUCCGGGUAGGACUCUCCUUUGCGUGGAAGGCAAGCUUGGCAAUCCAGAUAUGUAGAUCUCCUCCCUUGUAACCGACUUUGUGUAACCCUAGCCCCCUCCGGUGUCUAUAUAAACCGGAGGGUUUACUCCGUAGGACAACAACAGUCAUAAUCAUAGGCUAGCUUCUAGGGUUUAGCCUCUAUGAUCUCGUGGUAGAUCAACUCUUGUAAUACUCAUAUCAUCAAGAUCAAUCAAGCAGGACGUAGGGUAUUACCUCCAUCGAGAGGGCCCGAACCUGGGUAAACAUUGUGUCCCCCGUCUCAUGUUACCAUCCACCUUAGACGCACAGUUCGGGACCCCCUACCCGAGAUCCGCCGGUUUUGACACCAACAUUGGUGCUUUCAUUGAGAGUUCCACUGUGUCGUCACCGUAAGGCUUGAUGGCUCCUUAGAUCAUCGGCAACGAUGCGGUCCGGGUGAGGUUUUUCUCCUCGGACAGAUCUUCGUAUUCGGCGGCUUCGUACUGCGGGCCAACUCGCUUGGCCAACUGGAGCAGAUCGAGAGCUACGCCCCUGGCCAUCAGGUCAGGUUUGGAAGCUUGAACUAUACAACCGACAUCCGCGGAGACUUGAUCUUCAACGGAUUCGAGCCCAUGUCAGGUGCGCCGCACCAUCGUGACGAGCAUGACUUAGCUCUGCCGCCGGACGGUGUUCAGGCGAUCACUCCUGUGGCUACUCCGGCCUUCAAUCCGGAGCAGAUCAUGUCGUCUGAGGACAGGUGGAUGGACCCCGCCACGGAGGCCGCACACUCAAUGGCGAUAGAGCCAAAUACUGACUUCACCCCCUGUGAGACCUACGUUGCCGGACCCUUGGAUUCAUCCCCGGCCAUAGGCUCCGAACCGCCUGCGUCCGUGCCUAUCGAAUCUGAUUGGGCACCGAUCAUGGAGUUUACCUCCACGGAUAUUUUUCAGUACUCGCCCUUGGGCAACGUACUAAAUUCAUUGAGGUCUCUCUCCUUGUCAGGAGACCCUUGGUCGAACUAUGUCCGGCUUGAGUGGGAAGCGGACGACGAAGAAAUUCAUUCCCCACCCACCACCCACUUAAUAGCCACUGUCGACGACUUAACCGACAUGCUUGAUUUCAGCUCUGAAGACAUCGAUGGUAUGGAUGACAAUGCAGGAGAGGAGCAGGAACCACCUCCCACAGGGUGCUGGACAGCCACUUCAUCACAUGAUAUAUAUACAUGGUGGAUACACCCAAAGAAAACAAUGACGAGGAACAGAAUGAUGCAGCGAAGGAUAAUUCCCUCGAGAAGCAACCAAAGCGACGAUGUAGCCACCGCUCCAAAUCCCGCCUCGGCAAAAACAGCGAUAACAGCGCAAGAAAGAAUAAUACCCCGGUCGACUCCAAAGAAAGCAACGACCACAUGGACCCAGCGACAGAGCAGGAUGAACCAGCGGACGACGAACAUAGUACGGAGCCGCUAUCCGAUCACGGCGACGCCGAGGGUAAAGCUCAUCAACCUGUCUCCGGAGAGGAGAAUAGUCCGGACGACGAGGCACACAUCAUCCCGGAAAGGAACUUGGAGCAAAAGGACCUCCAUAGAAGGCUUAUUGCCACUGCGAGGAGUCUGAAGAAGCAGAAGCAAAGGCUUAAGGCCGCGCAAAAUACACUCAACAGUAGAUGGAACAAAGUGCUCGACACUGAAGAAAAGUACGGGGGCAGCCGCCACACAAAGAGCUAUCCAAAGCGCAAGCUGCUGCCCGAAUUUGAUGAUGAGGCCUUAGAGCCUAUAAAGCCGAAAAAUAAAACGGCCAAUCAGCUGGAUCGACCACCCCGUGGCCGCGAUAGGGCGGCUAACAAUGUCGCACAUAAGUCGGCACACAAUUUAUGUGAGGACUUGCACCAAAAAGCCGGUAUGACCAGGUCCAUCUACGGAUCUAGGAAGCGCGCUCCGACGCAGAAUCAAAACAGAACACUACAACCAUCAGAAUGCCAUGACACAUCCAAAUACAAGGGUGCCGCGCACCCCCUAUGCUUCACCGAUGAGGUUCUGGAUCACGAAUUCCCAGAAGGAUUCAAACCCGUGAACAUAGAGGCAUAUGACGGAACGACAGACCCUGGGGUCUGGAUUGAGGACUUUAUCCUUCAUAUCCACAUGGCUCGCGGAGAUGAUCUCCACGCCAUCAAAUACUUGCCCCUCAAGUUGAAAGGACCAGCUCGGCACUGGCUAAAGAGCCUCCCCAAAAACUCAAUUGGAAGUUGGGAAGAGCUUGAGGAUGCUUUUAGGGCUAAUUUCCAAGGGACCUAUGUCCGACUUCCGGAUGUAGACGAUUUAAGUCAUAUAAUUCAACAGCCCGGAGAGUCAGCCCGAAAGCUUUGGAACAGAUUCCUCACUAAGAAGAAUCAAAUCGUCGACUGCCCGGACGCCAAAGCCUUAGCGGCUUUCAAACACAGUGUCCGGGACGAAUGGCUCACCAGACACCUCGGCCAGGAAAAACCGAGGACAAUGGCAGCCCUAACAAGCCUUAUUACCCGCUUUUGCGCAGGCAAAGAUAGCUGGCUGGCCCGUAGCGGCACCAGCGACCCAGACACAUCCGAAGUCAGGGAUGGCAAUGUAAAACCACGAUGCAAUAAAAGCAGGCGUCGAAACAAUGAAGACAGCCCAGACAACACGGCGGUAAAUGCCGGAUUCAGGGGCUCUCGACACGGUCAACGGAAAAAGGCAUUUAAAGGCAGCAAAGAUGGACCGUCCAACCUAAACAAGAUUCUAGACAGAUUAUGUCAGAUUCAUGGCACCUCCGACAAACCGGCAAAUCACACCAACAGAGAAUGCUGGGUCUUCAAGCAGGCCGGCAAGCUAAACGUCGAACACAAGGGGAGGGAGACACCAAGCGAAGACGAGGAUGAGCCUCGCCAACCGAACACUGGGGGACAGAAAAAUUCCCACCAGAGGUCAAAACAGUGAACAUGAUUCAUGUAACGAAGAGGAGGAGCAAAUGCGCACUCCGAGACAUACGCACCGUGGAGCCCGUCACCCCAAGUGUUGUGGGCCUGCCCGAUCAUUUUUGAUUGCAGGGAUCGCCCGACUAGUAUCCGGCACGGAGGAUCGGCUGCCUUGGUACUGGACCCAAUAAUUGACGGAUACAAUCUCACCCGAGUCCUUACGGACAGCGGCAGUAGUCUUAAUCUGAUAUAUCAGGACACAGUCCGCAAAAUGGGGAUAGACCCAACAAGAAUCAGCCAAAGCAAUACUACCUUUAAAGGAGUAAUACCAGGCCCAGAGGCCCGCUGCACGGGCUCUCUAGUACUAGAGGUUGUAUUCGGUUCUCCCGACAACUUCCAAAGUGAAAAGUUAACCUUCGACAUCGCUCCAUUCCGAAGCGGCUAUCAAGCACUACUCGGAAGAACGGCCUUCGCUCGUUUUAAUGCAAUACCGCAUUAUGCUUAUCUUAAGCUUAAGAUGCCCGGUCCACGUGGCAUCAUCAUAGUUAGCGGAAAACACAGAACGUUCCUGACGUGCGGAAGAACGUGUGGCGGCUUUAGCAGCCGAACACUGAGCACCCCCUCCAACCAGAAUAAACAAUAGGUCGUCAAGACCGCGGACACGGCUAGACGAGUCCGGCGCACAACUAGCUGUAACAGCUCAGAUAAACCCAAGACUGGGUCGAUGGAUAUACCCCCAUAGGUGGUGCUAGGGGCUUCCCACAUGUAAAAAGGACUAUAGUUCGGCUUGAUCUUAUUUAGAUUGAAUUUUAAAGGUUUAUUAAGAUUAACCAAUUUUUCGCACGAAAACUUUCACUUGGGCUUUUCUCUCUUACAGAUGAUCAUUGUGCUACACCCUUCCAGGAUACGGCACAACGGAGAUACAGGCGCAGACGUGCAGCAGGGCCCCGUUCAAAGGUUUCUUUUUAGAUUAAGACCAUGUGUAAACCUUUUUUACUGUCUCUUGUUGCUUCACCCCUCGGGAUACUCAACAUAACCAAGAGGGAUGCUGGCGUUAUUGACAUUUCGUCACGUCAGACUAAUGCACGUACCUAGAAAUUCAGGGCUUAUUAUCGAGGGCGUUACUCAGCCAGUAUACAUUGUAAAGACUGAAUACCUUAGGGAGUGUUCGGCGUCGCGCGUUUGGCCUUAUAUGCAUUAGCUCCGAAUCAUGUCUUUGGUCAAUAGUUGGGUUUGCCCGGCUCCCGUGUUUUGCUACCUUACGUUUCGCUCUAUCGGCUAAGGUGGCACCGGGAGAACUACUGCAAUUGUGCCCUGGUUCAUCUGGACAAGCACCUCAGUAGAGAAAGCCGAAAAGUGACUGUCAUGAUAAAGCGCGAGACUGGUCAACCACUCGAGGACUCAACAGAAUCUUUGUGAUUCCUCCGCAUUAACGAAGGACCGGUUUCCCAGUCAUGUAUGUACGCGCACCGCAUUCGAAUAAGCACGGAAGUACCAGGGGCUAUAUAGUAGCCCCACUGUCAAACUCCUAUGGCUAAGUGAAAGUGUUAAAGCAAUAUAGUCUGAUUGCCUUGUUCGCUGCGCUAUCACCUCCUUAAUGCACCAAGACGCUGGAUCAAGUGUGAAUACGCGCUUUUCCGAACACCCCCCACAUUAUAUGCGUGGGGGCUGAAGCCGACGACUGCAAACUUUCAGGUUAUAUACAUACAUAAAACGACCGCACAGCAGGCAUCAUAAUACUUUCAGGCAAAAGUAUAAACACAGCCUUUUAUAAGCCAAAUAGCAUUGUUUUUACAAAUUGGGAUACAUGUCACUCGAACAUGAUACUCUUCGAGCACUGAGCCUCUAUUAAAAGAGCGCCUUCUAGGACUUCUUCAAAAUAGUGCUCGGACGAGACCUGGCCUACGGCCGGACCCCGGGUUGCAAUAGCGGUGGCAUCCAUCUCUGCUCAGUAUGUCUUAACACGGGCAAGAGCCAUCCACGCAUCCUCUAUGCACGAUGACCUCUUUACAGCGUCGAUAUGCGGCACAGCACCAAGGAAUCAUUGCACUAAACCAAAAUAACUAUUCGGCCUUGGUCCUUCCGGCCAAAGAUGAUCCACGACAGACCUCAUGGCAAGCCCGGACAACCUAUGAAGCUUAGCCCACUCGGCCAUUUGCUCAUUUAACUGCAGCGGACACGUUGGAGCACUGAACUGCGACCAGAACAACUUUUCCACUUCGUGAUAUUUUUUAUCUUUGAAAAACUCCGUCGCAUCAGCAACACUCAUUGCCAGGUCUGAAUACAUGUCUGCAGCACUCCAUAAUUGAUCCAGAGGGGCAUACUUCAGAUCUCCAAACUUCGUCCACAACAAAAAGGGCUUCCCAGCCAUGAUAUCUCCGGCUUGACGAAGCUCCUCCUUCGCCGCUCUGAUUUUAGAGCGGGUCUCCUUGCCUGCUACCAUGGUUUUCUCCAGGUCCGCCGCUUUCGCUUGGCUUUCCUUUUCAAGAAGCUCAUACCAGACGGCGGCAUCCUUCAGCUCAAUAGCCAUCUUGGCUAUUUUAUCUUCGCUCUGGCGACGAGCAGCCUGUUCGGCUCUUAACUCUUCGGCCGCCUUUAGGGCGGCCGCAUCACUCCUCCUGGCUUGUUCCUUGGCUUGGGCAAGUUCCGCCUGAAGGGUCUCCACGGCAGCAGCUCCAUCUGUAGUCACAGCAUAUUAUAGAUACUAGCAUCAUGCUCCUCUUAAUAUUUGUUGACCACCCGAAAAUACAAACCCUGUGCCUCGUCAAGCCGCUUGUUCACAAGCGCGAUGUCAACAUCUGCCGCGUCAAGUUGCCGGCUAAGUCCAGCAAAUUCAGCAGUCCGGCCAUCCACCAGACUGUCAGCCGCCUGCACAUGAAAGCAGCGCGAUCAUUACCUGGGACUACGAUCCUCUGUUUACCUCCUCCGGACAACAAUCAGAGUCUCAGGGCUACUAUCUGUAUAGAGCACACCUAGCAUGUGUGGUACCAUCAAAAAAAUUAUAUAUUACUUUACGUACCUCAAAGCCUCUUAGCAGGCUUGUAAAAGCUUCAUGCAACCCACUUUUGGCAGAUGAGAUCCUCUCAACCACUGUACCCAUUAAAGUAUGAUGCUCCUCCGAGAUAGCCGCUUGCUCCAGAAGACCCAUCAAUACGUCUGGUUGUGCACAGGAUAAUCCCAGACUCUUUAUGCUGCUCUCCUUAGGAGCUGAAUACUUCAGACUUCGGGUGGCCGAAGGGUUACCUUCUGGCCUUGGCGGAUCAGGAGAAAUCCUCCGUGAUGACACCUCAGGGUCGUCUGCCCCAGGAGACUAGGAGUCAGGGGGAGGCGUUUCGCUCUCCAUCAUCUCUGGAAGAAGACCCCCCGAAGACGAACUCUGUUGAGAAGGGCUAUGAUCCGGCCUGCAAGAUGUAUGUCUCGGUUAUUGUCCCCGGAGAUAAAGCAGGAUAUAUUUACCGAAAGUACUCUUGAUUCACUUACAGCUCGAUGGAGGGCUGGCCCCCUCGCGGGCACUGUGCGGUAAGGACGCCCUCCGGGGCACGGCCCCCUGGCAAAGGUUUUUUCCCUCGUUUGGAAACCUUCGCUUCCGAGUCUUCAAAGGCGGUCCUUUUCUUUCCUUGGGGAGAGGGGAUUCUAGAUUCUUCUCCUCGGUCAUCCUCCUUCGUGGAGACACUAAUUCCCCCGGUUUGAAUGAGUAAUGCGUGAGGCCCGCUUUCAGCUUCCUUAUCCCUCCCUUUAUCUUCCCCUGAUGGCACUUGAUAAGGCGCGAGCUCAAGCAUCCUGGCUAGUACAGGAUCUGGUGAGCCUUCGGGAAGGGGGGCCGAACACCUGAUCAUCUUCGCCUUUCUUAUCCAGUCCUGUCCAAGAUCAAUUUUUUCAGAAUGAUGUUACGACAAAUGAAAAGACGACAUGUUCGGCUGCAGAAUUACUUACAUGGGUAUCUGGACGAUUGCAGUUUAGACCCACAUCCUCGAUGGUGUCCGAACACUUUAUUCGUGAUCCCAAGAACAAUCCAUACAUCCCUUCGAGCGUCAUGCCGAAGAGUUGCUGAAUAGUUCGCGGUCCUUCCGGGUUGAACUCCCACAUAUGGAGAGAUCGGUGUUGGCAUGGCAGUACCCGACGGACUAGCAUAACUUGCAUUACCUUGACGAGACUGACGUCCCUCUUGAGGAGAUCUCAGAUACGUCUCCGACGUAUCUAUAAUUUUUUUAUUGUUCCAUGCCAAUAUUCUACAACUUUCAUAAGUUUUGGCAACUUUUUAUACUAUUUUUGGGACUAACAUAUUGAUCCAGUGCCCAGUACCAGUUCCUGUUUGUUGCAUGUUUUUUGUUUCGCAGAAUAUCCAUAUCAAACAGAGUCCAAACGGAAUAAAAACCGAUGGAGAUUUUUUUUGGAAUAUAUAUGAUUUUUGGGAAGAAAAAUCCACGCGAGACGAUGCUCGAGGGGCCCAUGAGGCAGGGGGCGCGCCCCAGGGGGCAGGCACGCCCCUGAGCCUCGUGGCCACCCCGUAAGGCGGUUGAUGCCCUACUUUCUCCGCAAGAAAGCUAAUAUCUGGAUAGAGAUCGUGUUAAAAUUUCAGCCCAAUCGGAGUUACGGAUCUCCGGGAAUAUAAGAAAUGGUGAAAGGGUAGAAUCUGAGAACGCAAAAACAGAGAAAGACAGAGAGACAGAUCCAAUCUCGGAGGGGCUCUCGCCCUCCUGUGCCAUGGAGGCCAUGGACCAGAGGGGAAACCCUUCUCCCAUCUAGGGAGGAGGUCAAGGAAGAAGAAGGAGGAGGGGGGCUCUCUCCCCCUCGCUUCCGGUGGCGCCGGAGUGCCACCGGGGUCCAUCAUCAUCACUGCAAUCUUCACCAACAACUUCACCGCCAUCAUCACCAACUCUUCCCCCCUCUAUGCAGCGGUGUAACCUCUCUCUUACCCGUUGUAAUCUCUACUUAAACAUGGUGCUCAAUGCUAUAUAUUAUUUCCCAAUGAUGUAUGGCUAUCCUAGAUCCGUUUUGUCUUAUGGGCUAUUUGAUAAUCAAGAUUGGUUUGAGUUGCAUGUUUUAUUAUUGGUGCUGUCCUAUGGUGCUCUCCAUGUCGCGCAAGCGUGAGGAAUCCCCGCUGUAGGGUGUUGCAAUACGUUCAUGAUUCGCUUAUAGUGGGUUGCGUGAGUGACUAAAACACAAACCCGAGUAAGGGGGUUGUUGCAUAUGGGAUAAAGAGGACUUGAUACUUUAAUGCUAUGGUUGGGUUUUACCUUAAUGAUCUUUAGUAGUUGCGGAUGCUUGCUAGAGUUCCAAUCAUAAGUGCAUAUGAUCCAAGUAGAGAAAGUAUGUUAGCUUAUGCCUCUCCCUCAAAUAAAAUUGCAAUAAUGAUUACCGGUCUAGUUAUCGAUUGCCUAGGGACAAAUAACUUUCUCGUAACAAAAAGCUCUCUACUAAAAAUAAUUUAGUUGUGUCUUUAUCUAAACAGCCCCUACUUUUUAUUUACAUGCUCUUUAUUACCUUGCAAACCUAUCCAACAACACCUACAAAGUACUUCUAGUUUCAUACUUGUUCUAAGUAAAGCGAACAUCAAGCGUGCGUAGAGUUGUAUCGGUGGUCGAUAGAACUUGAGGGAAUAUUUGUUCUACCUUUAGCUCCUCGUUGGGUUCGACACUCUUACUUAUCGAAAACUGUUGCGAUCCCCUAUACUUGUGGGUUACCAAGACCUUUUUCUGGCGCUGUUGCCGGGGAGUCAUAGUGUGGGGUGAAUAUUCUCGUGUGUGCUUGUUUGCUUUAUCACUAAGUAAUUUUUAUUUGCUGUUCUUAGUUGUUCUUUAUCUUUAGUUAUGGAUAUGGAACACGAAAUACCAAAAAAAUUAGGUGUACUUUCUGCUCAUGGAGAUGGGGAACCUCCUAAAACCCUCGAUGCUGGUUAUGUGAAAGAUAUUAUGUACUACUUUAAUAAUCCUGAGAAAACCCCAUUCAAUUAUGUAAUGGGAGUAACGUUGGAUUAACUGAAUACUUUAGGGAUUACCGCUUGACUCAAAAAGGGAAACUAUUAUGGGAUCAAAUUCAUAUAUUGAAGUGGUAUGCUAGGCAACCAAGCUUGAGAUAUGAUUAUACUUGUUGCUCUAGGAUGAAGGCUCCACACCUUCCCUUUUCAUACGAAUUUAAUGAUAAUAAAACCUUAGCUUCUUAUGCUAAUGGUAUAUAUGAUUACUAUGAUGUGGAACAAAUAUAAGAAUUUGUUGCUUUUAUGGGUGCUUAUGAAAUUGAAUCUAUGUUUAAAGAGUUUGAAGACUUUGAUGAUUCGGUUUAUAGACCUGAAAAUUUAGUUAUCCUUAAAUAUUGUUAUGAGAAUUAUGAAUACAAUUAUGAUACUAAUGCACUUAUUGAGAAAGUCUCCGCUGUCCAAGAAGAGACUAAUAUUUUGCAGGAGUCUAUGGAAGAAGAAAUUGAUGAAACUGUGAGCUCAUUGGAUGAAAAAGAUGAGGAGGAGAGCAAAGAACAAAAGGAGGAAGAGCGGAUUGAUCACCCGUGCCCACCUUCUAAUGAGAGUAACUCUUUGAUGUCUACUACACAACCUUCUUCUUGUAGACGUUGUUGGUCCUCCAAGUGCAGAGGUUUGUAGGACAGUAGCAAAUUUCCCUCAAGUGGAUGACCUAAGGUUUAUCAAUCCGUAGGAGGCGUAGGAUGAAGAUGGUCUCUCUCAAGCAACCCUGCAACCAAAUAACAAAGAGUCUCGUGUGUCCCCAACACACCCAAUACAAUGGUAAAUUGUAUAGGUGCACUAGUUCGGCGAAGAGAUGGUGAUACAAGUGGUAUAUGGAUAGUAGAUAUGGGUAUUUGUAAUCUGAAAAUAUAAAAACAGCAAGGUAAAUAAUGAUAAAAGUGAGCGUAAACGGUAUUGCAAUGCGUUGAAACAAGGCCUAGGGUUCAUACUUUCGCUAGUGCAAGUUCCCUCAACAAUAAUAACAUAAUUGGAUCACAUAACUAUCCCUUAACAUGCAACAAAGAGUCACUCCAAAGUCACUAAUAGCGGAGAACAAACGAAGAGAUUAUGGUAGGGUACGAAACCACCUCAAAGUUAUUCUUUCCAAUCAAUCCGUUGGGCUAUUCCUAUAAGUGUCACAAACACCCCUAGAGUUCAUACUAGAAUAACACCUUAAGACACAAAUCAACCAAAACCCUAAUGUCACCUAGAUACUCCAAUGUCACCUCAAGUAUCCGUGGGUAUGAUUAUACGAUAUGCAUCACACAAUCUCAGAUUCAUCUAUUCAACCAACACAUAGAACCUCAAAGAGUGCCCCAAAGUUCCUACCGGAGAAUCACGAUGGAAAUGUGUACCAACCCCUAUGCAUAGGUUCAUGGGUGGAACCCGCAAGUUGAUCACCAAAACAUACAUCAAGUGAAUCACAUGAUAUCCCAUUGUCGCCACAGAUACACACGGCAAGACAUACAUCAAGUGUUCUCAAAUCUUUAAAGACUCAAUCCGAUAAGAUAACAUCAAAGGGGAAACUCAAUCCAUUACAAGAGAGAGGGGGGGAGGAGAAACAUCAUAGGAUCCAAAUAUAAUAGCAAAGCUCGUGAUACAUCAAGAUCGUAUCACCUCAAGAACACGAGAGAGAGAGAGAGAGAGAGAGAGAGAUCAAACACAUAGCUACUGGUACAUACCCUCAGCCCUGAGGGAGAACUACUUCCUCCUCAUCAUGGAGAGCACCGGGAUGAUGAAGAUGGCCACCAGAGAGGGAUUGCCCCCUCCGGCAGGGUGUUGGAACGGGUCUAGAUUGGCUUUCGGUGGCUACGGAGGCUUCUGGCGGCGGAACUCCUGAUCUAUUGUGCUCUCGGAUGUUUUUAGGGUAUAUGGAGAUAUAUAGGCGGAAGAAGUACGCCAGGGGGGCCAUGAGGGGCCCACGAGGGUGGAGGGUGCGCCCAGGGGGUGGGCGCGCCCCCUACCUCAUGGCCUCCUCGAAGCUUCCCUUACGUAGACUCCAAGUCUUCUAGGCUUCUUCUGAUCCAAAAAUAGGUUCCUUGAAGUUUCAGGUCAUUUGGACUCCGUUUGAUUUUCCUUUUCUUUGAAACCCUAAAACAAGGUAAAAACAGAAACUGGCACUGGGCUCUGGGUUAAUAGGUUAGUCCCAAAAAAUGAUACAAAAGUGUAUAAUAAAGCCCAUAAACAUCCAAAACAGUAGAUAAUAUAGCAUGGAGCAAUCAAAAAUUAUAGAUACGUUGGAGACGUAUCAGCAUCCCCAAGCUUAAUUCUUGCUCGUCCUCGAGUAGGUAAAUGAUAAAAACAGAAUUUUUGAUGCGGAGUGCUACUUGGCAUAAUUUCAAUGUAAUUCUUCUUAAUUGUGGCAUGAAUAUUCAGAUCCAAAAGAUUCAAGACAAAAGUUCAUAUUGACAUAAAAAUAAUAAUACUUCAAGCAUACUAACUAAGCAAUUAUGUCUUCUCAAAAUAACAUGGCCAAAGAAAGUUCAUCCCUACAAAAUCAUAUGGUUUAGUCAUGUUUCAUUUUCGUCACACAAGAAUGCUAUCAUCAUGCACAACCCCGAUGACAAGCCAAGCAAUUGUUUCAUACUUUAGUAAUCUCAAACCUAUAAACUUUCACGCAAUAUAUGAGCGCGAGCCAUGGACAUAGCACUAUAGGUGGAAUAGAAUAUAAUGAGUGGGCUUAUGUGGAGAAGACAAAAAGGAGGAAGUCUCACAUCAACGAGGCUAAUCAAUGGGCUAUGGAGAUGCCCACCGAUUGAUGUUAAUGCAAGGAGUAGGGAUUGCCAUGCAACGGAUGCACUAGAGCUAUAAAUGUAUGAAAUCUCAACAAAAGAAACUAGUGGGUGUGCAUCCAACUUGCUUGCUCACGAAGACCUAGGGCACUUGAGGAGGCCCAUUGUUGGAAUAUACAAGCCAAGUUCUAUAAUGAAAAAUUCCCACUAGUAUAUGAAAGUGAUAACAUGAGAGACUCUCUACUAUGAAGAUCAUGGUGCUACUUUGAAGCACAAGUGUGGCAAAGGAUAGUAACAUUGUCCCUUCUCUCUUUUUCUCUCAUUUUCUCUUUUUUUUCUUUGGCCUUUUCUUUUUUAUGGCCUUUCUCCUUUUUUGGGGCCUUAUCUUUUUUUAUGGCCUUUCCUCUUUUUUUUAUUCCUCACUUGGGACAAGGCUCUAGAAAAUGAUGAUCAUCACACUUCUAUUUAUUUACAACUCAAUGAUUACAACUCGAUACUAGAACAAAGAUGACUCUAUAUGAAUGCCUCCGAUGGUGUACCGGGAUAUGCAAUGAACCAAGAGUGACAUGUAUGAAAGAAUUAUGAACGGUGGCUUUGCCACAAAUACUAUGUCAACUACAUGAUCAUGCUAAGCAAUAUGACAAUGAUAAAUGUGUCAUGAUGAACGGAAUGAUGGAAAGUUGCAUGACAAUAUAUCUCGGAAUGGCUAUGGAAAUGCCAUAAUAGGUAGGUAUGGUGGCUGUUUUGAGGAAGAUAUAAGGAGGUUUAUGUGUGAAAGAGCGUAUCAAAUCACGGGGUUUGGAUGCACCGGCGAAGUUUGCGCCAACUCUCAAUGUGAGAAAGGGCAAUGCACGGUACCAAAGAGGCUAGCAAGGAUGGAAGGGUGAGAGUGCGUAUAAUCCAUGGACUCAACAUUAGUCAUAAAGAACUCACAUACUUAUUGCAAAAAUCUACAAGUCAUCAAAAACCUCGGCACUACAUGCAUGCUCCUAGGGGGAUAGAUUGGUAGGAAAAUACCAUCGCUCGUCCCCGGCCGCCACUCAUAAGGAAGACAAUCAAAUAACACCUCAUGUUUCGAAUUUGUUACAUAACGUUUACCAUACGUGCAUGCUAUGGGACUUGCAAACUUCAACACAAGCAUUUCUCAAAUUCACAACUACUCAACUAGCACGACUUUGAUAUUAUUACCUCCAUAUCUCAAAACAAUCAUCAAGCAUCAAACUUCUCUUAGUAUUCAAUGCACUCAUAAGAAAAUUUUACUAAUCUUGAAUACCUAGCAUAUUAGGAUUUUAAGAAAAUUACCAUGCUAUUUAAGACUCUCAAAAUAAUCUAAGUGAAGCAUGGGAGUUCAUCUAUUUCUUCAAAAUAAAACUACCACCAUGCUCUAAAAGAUAUAAGUGAUCGAAGCACUAAAGCAAAUGACAAACUACUCCGAGAGAUAUAAGUGAAGAUCAAUGAGUAGUCGAAUAAUUAUGCAACUAUGUGAAGACUCUCUCAUUUAAUAAUUUCAGAUCUUGAUAAUUUAUUCAAACAGCAAGAAAAGCAAAAUAAAAUGACAUCUAAGAAUAGCAAACAUCAUGUGAAGAAGCAAAAACAUAGGAUCAACCGAUACUAACCGAUAGUUGUUGAAGAAGAAAGGUGGGAUGCCAACCGGGGCAUCCCCAAGCUUAGACGCUUGAGACUUCUUGAAAUAUUAUCUUGGGAUGCCUUAGGCAUCCCCAAGCUUGAGAUUUUGUGUCUCCUUAAUUCCUCUCAUAUCACGGUCUCCCUAAAUCUCAAAAGCUUCAUCCACACAAAACUCAACAAGGACUCGUGAGAUAAGUUAGUAUAAACCAUUGCAAAAACCUUAUCAUAGUCUACUGUAGCAAAUCACUAAAAUUAUUAUUAAACAUUGCAUACUAAAUGUCUCUGCAUAUUUAAUAGUCCUAUCCUCAAAUAGAAUCAUUAAAGAAGCAAACAUAUGCAAACAAUGCAAACAUAACAGCAAUCUGCCUAAACAGGACAGUCUGUAAAGAAUGCAGCAACAUCCAUACUUCCCUAGCUCCAAAAAUUAUGAAAGAAAAUUCCCACUGUAGUAAAUUUAUCAGAGCUUAAUAUUCAAAAGGUUUCAACAUUUUAUCACAUUCUGACUUUUGUAGGGAAUUAUUGCAACAGCGUAAACUUUCUGUUUUCAAACAGCAACAUGUGGACUUCUAAAAUAGGCAUAGUAAAGGCUAUCAAUGCCACAUUUAUUGAAAUAAAAGAUGAAAACAUUGUUCUAAAUAACAGCAAGAAAAUCUUAACAAAAUAAAUUGACGCUCCAAGCAAAACACAUAUCAUGUGGCGAAUAAAAAUAUAGCUCCAAGUAAAUUUACCGAUGAACGAAGACGAAAGAGGGGAUGCCUUCCGGGGCAUCCCCAAGCUUAGGCUCUUGGUUGUCCUUGAAUAUUACCUUGGGGUGCCUUGGGCAUCCCCAAUCUUAGGCUCUUACCACUCCUUAUUCCAUAGUCCAUCGAAUCUUUACCCAAAACUUGAAAACUUCACAACACAAAACUUAACAGAAAACUCGUAAGCUCCGUUAGUAUAAGAAAAUAAAUCACCACUUCAAGGUACUGUAAUGAACUCAUUAUUUAUUUAUAUUGGUGUUAAACAUACUGUAUUCCAACUUCUCUAUGGUUUAUAAACUAUUUUACUAGCCAUAGAUUCAUCAAAAUAAGUAAACAACACAUGAAAAAACAGAAUCUGUCAAAAACAGAACAGUCUGUAGUAAUCUGGAUCAAACAUAUACUUCUGGAACUCAUAAAAUUCUCAAAUAAAUUGCUGGACCUGAGGAAUUUAUCUAUUAAUCAUCUGAAAAAAUAAUUAACUAAAUAGCACUCUCCAAAUAAAAAUGGCAGCAAUUCUCGUGAGCGCUAAAGCUUCUGUUUUUUUACAGCAUGAUCGCAAAGACUUUCCCCGAGUCUUCCCAAAGGUUCUACUUGGAACAAACGCUAAUUAAACACAUAAAACCACAUAUAAAAAGAGGCUAGAUGAAUUAUUUAUUACUAAACAGGAACAAAAAGCAAGGAACAAAAAUAAAGUUGGGUUGCCUCCCAACAAGCGCUAUCGUUUAGCGCCCCUAGCUAGGCAUGAUGACUUCAAUGAUGCUCACAUAAAAGAUAAGGAUUGAAACAUAAAGAGAGCAUCAUGAAGACUAUUACUAGCACAUUUAAGUCUAACCCACUUCCUAUGCAUAGGGAUUUUGUGAGCAAACAACUUGUGGGAACAAGAAUCAACUUGCAUAGGAAGGUAAGACAAGCAUAACUUCAAAACUUUAAGCACAUAGAGAGGAAACAUGAUAUUAUUGCAAUUCCUACAAGCAUAUGUUCCUCCCUCAUAAUAAUUUUCAGUAGCAUCAUGAAUGAAUUCAACAAUAUAACCAGCACUCAAAGCAUUCUUUUCAUGAUCUACAAGCAUAGAGAAUUUACUACUCUCCACAUAAGCAAAAUUCUUCCCAUGAAGGAGCAAAUAACUGUCAUGUGAUUGAAAAUUAAGAUCAAUAUGACAAGGUUCAUUGUUAUUAUUAUUCUUUAAAGCAUACGUGUCAUCAGAAUAAUCAUCAUAGAUAGGAGGCAUGCUUUCAUCAUAAUAAAUUUGCUCAUCAUAACUUGGGGGACAAAAAAUAUCAUCUUCAUCGAACAUAGCUUCCCCAAGCUUGUGGCUUUGCAUAUCAUUAGCAUCAUGGAUAUUCAAAGAAUUCAUACUAACAACACUGCAAUCAUGCUCAUCAUUCAAAUAUUUAGUGCCAAACAUUCUAAUGCAUUCUUCUUCUAACAUUUUGGCACAAUUUUACUUUCCAUCAUACUCACGAAAGAUAUUAAAAAAAGCGUAUGAGACAAACUCAAUUCCAUUUUUUGUAGUUUUAUUUUAUAAACUAAACUAGUGAUAAAACAAGAAACUAAAAGACUCGAUUACAAGAUCUAAAGAUAUACCUUCAAGCACUCACCUCAACGGCAACGGUGCCAGAAAAGAGCUUGAUGUCUACUACACAACCUUCUUCUUGUAGACGUUGUUGGGCCUCCAAGUGCAGAGGUUUGUAGGACAGUAGCAAAUUUCCCUCAAGUGGAUGACCUAAGGUUUAUCAAUCCGUAGGAGGCGUAGGAUGAAGAUGGUCUCUCUCAAGCAACCCUGCAACCAAAUAACAAAGAGUCUCUUGUGUCCCCAACACACCCAAUACAAUGGUAAAUUGUAUAGGUGCACUAGUUCGGCGAAGAGAUGGUGAUACAAGUGGUAUAUGGAUAGUAGAUAUGGGUAUUUGUAAUCUGAAAAUAUAAAAACAGCAAGGUAACUAAUGAUAAAAGUGAGCGUAAACGGUAUUGCAAUGCGUUGAAACAAGGCCUAGGGUUCAUACUUUCGCUAGUGCAAGUUCCCUCAACAAUAAUAACAUAAUUGGAUCACAUAACUAUCCCUCAACAUGCAACAAAGAGUCACUCCAAAGUCACUAAUAGCGGAGAACAAACGAAGAGAUUAUGGUAGGGUACGAAACCACCUCAAAGUUAUUCUUUCCAAUCAAUCCGUUGGGCUAUUCCUAUAAGUGUCACAAACAGCCCUAGAGUUCGUACUAGAAUAACACCUUAAGACACAAAUCAACCAAAACCCUAAUGUCACCUAGAUACUCCAAUGUCACCUCAAGUAUCCAUGGGUAUGAUUAUACGAUAUGCAUCACACAAUCUCAGAUUCAUCUAUUCAAUCAACACAUAGAACCUCAAAGAGUGCCCCAAAGUUCCCACCAGAGAAUCACGACGAAAACGUGUGCCAACCCCUAUGCAUAGGUUCAUGGGCGGAACCCACAAGUUGAUCAUCAAAACAUAUAUCAAGUGAAUCACGUGAUAUCCCAUUGUCACCACAGAUACGCACGGCAAGACAUACAUCAAGUGUUCUCAAAUCUUUAAAGACUCAAUCCGAUAAGAUAACUUCAAAGGGGAAACUCAAUCCAUUACAAGAGAGAGGGGGGAGGAGAAACAUCAUAGGAUCCAAAUAUAAUAGCAAAGCUCGCGAUACAUCAAGAUCGUAUCACCUCAAGAACACGAGAGAGAGACAGAUCAAACACAUAGCUACUGGUACAUACCCUCAGCCCCGAGGGAGAACUACUCCCUCCUCGUCAUGGAGAGCACCGGGAUGAUGAAGAUGGCUACCGGAGAUGGAUUGCCCCCUCCGGCAGGGUGCCGGAACGGGUCUAGAUUGGCUUUCGGUGGCUACGAAGGCUUCUGGCAGCGGAACUCCCGAUCUAUUGUGCUCUCGGAUGUUUUUAGGGUAUAUGGAGAUAUAUAGGCGGAAGAAGUAUGUCAGGGGGCCACGAGGGGCCCACGAGGGUGGAGGGCACGCCCCCCUACCUCGUGGCCUCCUUGAAGCUUCCCUUACGUAGACUCCAAGUCUUCUGGGCUUCUUCUGAUCCAAAAAUAGGUUCCGUGAAGUUUCGGGUCAUUUGGACUCCGUUUGAUUUUUCCUUUUCUUUGAAACCCUAAAACAAGGUAAAAACAAAAACUGGCACUGGGCUCUGGGUUAAUAGGUUAGUCCCAAAAAAUGAUAUAAAAGUGUAUAAUAAAGCCCGUAAACAUCCAAAACAGUAGAUAAUAUAGCAUGGAGCAAUCAAUAAUUAUAGAUACGUUGGAGACGUAUCACUCUUCAACUCAUACAUUGUUUAAUUUCCCUUCGUGCUUACCAAAGGAUGAUUGCUAUGAUGACUAUUAUGAUCUCGUUGAUUCUUUUGAAAUAUCCCUUUUUUGAUGAUGCUUGCUAUGCUUGUGGCCAAGAUGCCAAUAUGAAUUAUGCUUAUGAAGAUGAACUUGCUAUAGUUCCUUAUGUUAAACAUGAAAUUGUUGUUAUUGCACCCACGCAUGAUAGUCCUAUUAUCUUUUUGCAUUCUCCCAAUUACACUAUAUCGGAGAAGUUUACCCUUAUUAAGGAUUAUAUUGAUGGGUUGCCUUAUACCGUUGCACAUGAUGAUUUUGAUGAAUAUAACAUGCAUGUGCUUGCUGCUCCUACUUGCAAUUAUUAUGAGAGAUGAACUAUAUCUCCACCUCUCUAUGUUUCCAAUAUGAUAAAAUUGCAAGAAACUGUUUAUACUAUGCAUUGGCCUUUACUAUGUGUGCAUGAAUUGUUCUUUUAUGACAUGCCGAUGCAUAGGAAGAGAGUUAGACUUCGUAGUUACAUGAUAUAUGUUGCUUUGUGCUACUACUAAAUUACAAAUCAUUGUUAAUUAAAAUUGGCUUUGAUAUACCUUGGGAUCCGGGUGGAUUCACUACUUGAGCACUAUAUGCCUAGCUUAAUGGCUUUAAAGAAAGCGCUGCCAGGGAGACAAGCCGGAAGUUUUAGAGAGUCAUUUAUUUCUGUUGAGUGCUUUCAUAUAGUUUAAAAACAACAAAAAUAAAGAGGGGAACCCAAAACUUUUUCAAAAAGGAAAGUGAAAGUGAGAGAGACAAGCAUUAUUGAAGUGGGAGAGCUCCUUGAACUUUGUUCAUGCUCACGGCAACUUUGUGAAUCUUGAUUACAGAAACUUUUCAAUAAAAAUAAUUAUCCCCUUGUACAAUUCCAUUGUAUUAUAAAAAUAAUGUGCCAAGGUUUGCCUUUAGGAUGUUUACAUUUGCUUGAUGGUUUGUACGGUGCAGGACAGAAACUUUGGCUGUAGUGCGCGAUUUUACAUUUUUAGCUGGAACAUCAAAUGGUUCUGAUUAUUUUUGCACUGUCUUUAUAUACAAAUUUUUUAUUUUUCCUAAUUUUGGCAGAAAUUUUCAAGUAUCAGAAGUAGUGAAUGUUCAGAUUAUUACAGACUGUUCUGUUUUAGAUAGAUUCUGUUUUUAAUGCAUAGUUUGCUUGUUUUGAUGAAACUAUCGAUUAAUAUCAGUGGAUUAAGCCAUGAAAAAGUUAUAUUAUAGUAUCCAUAAUGCAAAAACAAAAUAUGAAUUGGUUUGCAACAGUACUUAGAGUAGUGACUUGCUUUAUUAUACUAACGGAUCUUACCGAAUUUUCUAUUGAAGUUUUGUGUGGAUGAAGUGUUCGAUGAUCGAGAAGGUCUCGAUGUGAGAAGAAGGAAGAGAGGCAAGAGCUCAAGCUUGGGGAUGCCCGAGGCACCCCAAGUAAAUAUUCAAGGAUACUCAAGCGUCUAAGCUUGGGGAUGCCCCGGAAGGCAUCCCCUCUUUCUUCAACAAGUAUCGGUAUGUUUUCGGAUUUGUUUCGUUCAUGCGAUAUGUGCAAUCUUGGAGCGUCUUUUGCAUUUAGUUUUCAUUUUUCUUUUAUGCACCAUGCUGGUAUGAGAUAGUCCUUGGUUGAUUUAUAGAAUGCUCUAUGCACUUCACUUGUAUCUUUUGAGUAUGGCUUUUAUAGAAUGCUUCGUGUGCUUCACUUAUAUCAUUUGAAGUUUGGAUUGCAUGUUUCUCUUCACUUAGACAACCGCCAUUUGUAGAAUGCUCUUUUGCUUCACUUAUAUUUGUUAGAGUGUGGGCAUAUCUUUUGUAGAAAGAACUAAACUCUCUUGCUUCACUUAUAUCUAUUUAGAGAGAUGACAGGAAUUGGUCAUUCACAUGGUUAGUCAUAAAAUCCUACAUAAGACUUGUAGAUCACUGAAUAUGAUAUGUUUGAUUCCUUGCAAUAGUUUUGCGAUAUAAAGAUGGUGAUAUUAGAGUCAUGCUAGUGGGUAGUUCUGGAUUAGUAGAAAUACUUGUGUUGAGGUUUGUGAUUCCCGUAGCAUGCACGUAUGGUGAACCAUUAUGUAACGAAGUCGGAGCAUGAGUUAUUUAUUGAUUGUCUUCCUUAUGAGUGGCGGCCGGGGACGAGCGAUGGUCUUUUCCUACCAAUCUAUCCCCCUAGGAGCAUGCGCGUAGUACUUUGUUUCGAUGACUAAUAGAUUUUUGCAAUAAGUAUGUGAGUUCUUUAUGACUAAUGUUGAGUCCAUGGAUUAUACGCACUCUCACCCUUCCAUCAUUGCUAGCCUCUCUAGUAUCGCGCAACUUUCGCCGGUACCAUAAACCCACCAUAUACCUUCCUCAAAACAGCCACCAUACCUACCUAUCAUGGCAUUUCCAUAGCCAUUCUGAGAUAUAUUGCCAUGCAACUUCCAUCAUCAUCAUAUACAUGACUUGAGCAUUCAUUGUCAUAUUGCUUUGCACGAUCGUAAGAUAGCCAGCAUGAUGUUUUCAUGGCUUGUCCGUUUUUUUGAUGUCAUUGCUACGCUAGAUCAUUACACAUCCCGAUACACCGCCAGAGGCAUUCAUAUAGAGUCAUAUCUUUGUUCUAGUAUUGAGUUGUAAUAUUGAGUUGUAAGUAAAUAAAAGUGUGAUGAUCAUCAUUAUUAGAGCAUUGCCCCAGUGAGGAAAGGAUGAUGGAGACUAUGAUUCCCCCACAAGUCGGGACGAGACUCCAGACGAAAAAAAAGAGAAAUGCCAAAAAAAAGAAGGCCAAAAAAAAUAAAAAAAAUGAGAGAAAAAGAGAGAAGGGGCAAUGUUACUAUCCUUUUACCACACUUGUGCUUCAAAGUAGCACCAUGUUCUUCAUAUAGAGAAUCUCUUGACUUAUCACUUUCAUAUACUAGUGGGAAUUUUCAUUAUAGAACUUGGCUUGUAUAUUCCGAUGAUGGGCUUCCUCAAAUGCCCGAGGUCUUCAUGAGCAAGCAAGUUGGAUGGACACCCACUUAGUUUCAAUCUGAGCUUUCAUACACUUAUAGCUCUUAGUGCAUCCGUUGCAUGGCAAUCCCUACUCACUCACAUUGAUAUCUAUUGAUGGGCAUCUCCAUAGCCCGUUGAUACGCCUAGUUGAUGUGAGACUAUCUUCUCCUUUUUUGUCUUCUCCACAACCACCACUCUAUUCCACCUAUAGUGCUAUGUCCAUGGCUCACGCUCAUGUAUUGCGUGAAAGUUGAAAAGGUUUGAGAACGCCAAAAGUAUGAAACAAUUGUUUGGCUUGUCAUCAGGGUUGUGCAUAAUGUGAAUAUUUUGUGUGGUGAAGAUGGAGCAUAGCCAGACUAUAUGAUUUUGUAGGGAUAACUUUCUUUGGCCAUGCUAUUUUGAAAAGACAUGAUUGCUUUAUUAGUAGGCUUGAAGUAUUAUUGUUUUUAUGUCAAAUGAUAGACUAUUGCUUUGAAUCGCUCGUGUCUUAAAUAUUCAUGCCAUGAUUAGAUAUGUGAUCAAGAUUAUGCUAGGUAGCAUUCCACAUCAAAAAUUAUCUUUUUUAUCAUUUACCUACUCGAGGACGAGCAGGAAUUAAGCUUGGGGAUGUUGAUACGUCUCCAUCGUAUCUAUAAUUUUUGAUUGUUCCAUGCCAAUAUUCUACAACUUUCAUAUACUUUUGGCAACUUUUUAUACUAUUUUUGGGACUAACAUAUUGAUCCAGUGCCCAGUGCCAGUUCCUGUUUGUUGCAUGUUUUUUGAUUCAUAGAAUAUCCAUAUCAAACGGAGUCCAAAUGAAAUAAAAACUGACGGAGAUUUUUUGGAAUAUAGAUGAUUUUUGGGAAGAAAAAUCCACGCGAGACAAUGCUCGAGGGGGCCACGAGGCAGGGGGGCGCCCCUGACCCUCGUGGCCACCCCGUAAGGUGGUUGAUGCCCUUCUUUCGCCCCAAGAAAGCUAAUAUCCGGAUAGAGAUCGUGUUAAAAUUUCAGCCCAACCGGAGUUACGGAUCUCCGGGAAUAUAAGAAACGGUGAAAGGGUAGAAUCUGAGAACGCAGAAACAGAGAAAGACAGAGAGACAGAUCCAAUCCCGGAGGGGCCCUCGCCCCUCCCGUGCCAUGGAGGCCAUGGACCAGAGGGGAAACCCUUCUCCCAUCUAGGGAGGAGGUCGAGGAAGAAUAAGAAGGAGGGGGGCUCUCUCCCCCUCGCUUCCGGUGGCGCUGGAGUGCCACCGGGGGCCAUCAUCAUCACCGCAAUCUUUACCAACAACUUCACCGCCAUCAUCACCAACUCUUCCCCCCUCUAUGCAGCGGUGUAACCUAUCUCUUACCCGCUGUAAUCUCUACUUAAACAUGGUGCUCAACGCUAUAUAUUAUUUCCCAAUGAUGUAUGGCUAUCCUAUGAUGUUUGAGUAAAUCCGUUUUGUCCUAUGGGCUGUUUGAUGAUCAAGAUUGGUUUGAAUUGCAUGUUUUAUUAUUGGUGCUGUCCUGUGGUGCUCUCCGUGUUGCGCAAGCAUGAGGGAUCCCCGCUGUAGGGUGCUGCAUUCAUGAUUCGCUUAUAGUGGGUUGCGUGAGUGACUGAAACACAAACCCGAGUAAGGGGGUUGUUGCGUAUGGGAUAAAGAGGACUUGAUACUUUAAUGCUAUGGUUGGGUUUUACCUUAAUGAUCUUUAGUAGUUGCGGAUGCUUGCUAGAGUUCCAAUCAUAAGUGCAUAUGAUCCAAGUAGAGAAAGUAUGUUAGCUUAUGCCUCUCCCUCAAAUAAAAUUGCAAUAAUGAUUACCGGUCUAGUUAUUGAUUGCCUAGGGACAAAUAACUUUCUCGUAACAAAAAGAUCUCUACUAAAACUAAUUUAGUUGUGUCUUUAUCUAAACAUCCCCUACUUUUUAUUUACAUGCUCUUUAUUACCUUGCAAACCUAUCCAACAAAACCUACAAAGUACUUCUAGUUUCAUACUUGUUCUAGGUAAAGCGAACAUCAAGUGUGCGUAGAGUUGUAUCGAUGGCCGAUAGAACUUGAGGGAAUAUUUGUUGUGCCUUUAGCUCCUUGUUGGGUUCGACACUCUUACUUAUUGAAAACGGUUGCGAUCCCCUAUACUUGUGGGUUAUCAAUCUCAGAUGCGACUUUGAAAUGUCGGCACGUCAUUAACUGGCCCCCAAUCCAGCCCCUUGUUGACCCAUGACGCCAGUUGUGGCGGGGGGGGGGGGCGAACGGAGGGCGGGGGCAGCUACCCACUUAGUACUUCGGGGAGCUGUGAUGUAAAACCACUCCCGCUGCCAUAAUUUGGACACCUCCAGAAAGAAACCCUUUGGCCAUGGAGCAUCGAUGCCUUUGCUUAUUGUGGCACCUCCGCAUUCUGCGUGUCACCCAUCGAUCAUCUUCGGCUUCACAUUGAAGGUCUUGAGCAAUAAGCUGAAGUGUGGGGUGAUGGGAGGAAGGCCUCACACACGACGAUAAACGACGAGAUGUGAAGGAUGGAAUCCAGGGCUAGAUCAUGGAAAUCGAGCCCGUAAUAGAACAUAAGCCCUCGGACAAAGGGAUCAAGACUAAAGCCUAGCCCUCGGAGGAAGUGGGAAACAAAUACGACACUCUCGUUGGGUUCGGGAGUGGGGAUGACCUGCCCUUGAGCAGGCAGCCUAUGCGAGAUUUCGGCGGUCAGAUACCUGGCUUCCCUUAGCUUCUUAAUGUUCGCCUCUGUGACAGAGGAAGCCAUCCACCGGCCUUGAAGGUUGGAUCUGGACAUGGUUGAAGGACCGAAGCACUUAGCCUGAGCCUUGGGUGUUGGAACGCGGGGUGGGGGAAGGGAAGGAUUGAGCACGAGAAGAAAAGGACAGGCCUUGGCCCCUUUAUAAAGAGGGCGAAUAUCAAGCGUCCUCCGCGUGCCCGUUUGGAACUUGCCUAAAAUCGAGGAGUCAUGUUAACCAGCACGGCUGGGUUACCCACGCCCGUAUUGAUGGGACUCCCGUGAUAAGGGGAACACGAUCUCUGCUUCGACAAGACGUGCCGAUAAAACCGCCUCGCAACUCAUGCAAUGGCAGGCAGGGAAAAACGGUUCGUAAUGACCGGGCGACGGCAGGACGUCACGUUAUGAAAAGUUGUUAGCAAAUUGGAUUUGUCGAAUAAUGUACUCUCUACAGUGGUAUGUGGAAUUUGCUUUGCAGAGCUGGACACUAUCCUUGUGUUCAAAAUCUUAUAUGGAGUAUUUGGAGAAGGAAUCCGCCUUGCAAUGCCGAGGACAAUCUGCGCGCCGGACUCAUCGUCAUUGAAGCCUGGUUCAGGGGCUACUGAGGGAGUCCUGGAUUAGGGGGUCCUCGGACGGCCGGACUAUAUCCUUUGGCCGGACUAUUGGAUUAUGAAGAUACAAGAUUGAAGACUUCAUUCCGUGUCCGGGUGGGACUCUCCUUUGGGUGGAAGGCAAGCUUGGCAAUUCGGAUAUGUAGAUCUCCUCCCUUGUAACCGACUCUGUGUAACCCUAGUCCCGCUCCGGUGUCUAUAUAAACCGGAGGGUUUAGUCCGUAGGACAACAACCAUCAUAAUCAUAGGCUAGCUUCUAGGGUUUAGCCUCUACGAUCUCGUGGUAGAUCAACUCUUGUAAUACUCAUAUCAUCAAGAUCAAUCAAGCAGGACGUAGGGUGUUACCUCCAUCGAGAGGGCCUGAACCUGGGUAAACAUUGUGUCCCCCGUCUCUUGUUACCAUCCGCCUUAGACGCACAGUUCGGGACCCCUACCCAAGAUCCGCCGGUUUUGACACCGACAGCUGCAUCUCGUGAUCCAGGCAUUGUGGAGGCCGCAGAAGAUCCCGGAUGGCCGACCGACUCAUCACGGGUGCAUGAUUGCAUGGGGCCGACCAGAUCAGCACCGGAUCCGGCUCCUGUCAGCCGUGGCUAAGCCCGCCGCUUGUAGCAGCGCGACUCGUCGGGGAAGCACGCGCCACGUUGGCCACUUGGGAGCUGCCAGUUGUGAGGUGACGAGCGGGGCGGAGCGGCCAUGGGGCCACCUCCAGCAGGCGCGGGACCACCUCCAGCUGUGGUCGGUUGCGUGGCGUGCGCGGGGUCGCUGGUGGUUGCACGGGCGUGCGAUGCUGCUGUCGGCUCUGACGCGUCAGCCCGCACCAAUCCCGGUGCAGAUUGCCUGCGUUGUUGCUCCUGCAGCGAUCCCGAGGUGGAUCCGGCGAGUUCCAAGGCAGAUUUGCCCCCCAUGUCACGACACAUGAAAUAUGGCAUGGGGGAAGUGAUUUGUGCAUCAUUUUCUUCUCUGUUUUCACUGCUGUUUUCUCCUGCAACAUCACAAAGCUGAUGGGUACGGUUAAGAGGUUAGUCAUUGUUUGAUCAGCACAAUUAUUUUCUCCCCCGUGAUCAAUGCCGGAUAGGUGAGAUGGCAAAAGAAGGAUUUCUUUGCGGAGUAAGGCGCCGGCAUUUGGAUGAAGAUCAGCAAAAGGAAAUUUUGUUUCAUUAAAGAUCACAUCGCGAGAAAUAUAGACACGGUCAGUGGAGAUGUCAAGGCACUUGACACCUUUGUGAAGUGGACUAUACCCAAGAAAAGCACAUCGCUUUGAGCGGAACAUGAGUUUGCGAUUGUUGUAUGGGCGAAUAUUAGGCCAACAGGCACACCCAAACACACGAAGUGAUUUGUAGUCGGGUUUAACAUGAAGUAGCCUUUCUGUUGGAGUUUCAUUAUUAAUGACACGACUAGGAAGCAUGUUGAUAAUGUGGACAGCCGUGAGAAAGGCUUCGUCCCAAAAUUUAAGAGGCAUAGAGGCGUCGGCUAAGAGAGCUAGUCCUACCUCCACAAUGUGUCUGUGCUUACGUUCUGCCGAACCGUUUUGUUGGUAAGCGUGGGGACAGGACACGUGAUGAGAGAUGCCAAGGUUUUGGAAGAAAGUCCUUGCCGUGGUACUUCUCCCGCGUGGUCACCUUCUCAAGCUCGCUGGUGAUGUGUUCGGUGGCGCCACUGUCGACGUACCAGUUGGUGUCAACGCCGUAGGAGCCGUCCGCAGAAGCAGCCACCUUGUCCUCAUCCUGGGAGUCUUCAUCGUCCUCGUCAUAGCGGUACCAGCAGUCUCGGGCGGUGUGCCCGAGCUUGCCACAGAUCUGGCAGCGUGGCGCAUCAGGGCACACUCGGUUGGAGCCAUGGCCACCACCGCCGCCGUGUCCCUUGGAGUUGGUGGAGGAGGAAUGGUCGGUCCGAGGAGUGUUGGUGUUGGAGGAGUUGCUGCCACCUGAGCGGUUCUUGCCACGUGGAGGUCCGCCAUGGCCACGAGAGGCAACAUUCGCAGAAGACUUGAAACCGCCCGAACCCUGAUAGAGUGCCAUGCGCUAAUCAAAAUUGCUUAGCAUGGUGAACAACUCAUCUAGGGUGACGGGGGAGGUGCGGGCAUCCAGGGCCGACACCAGAGGCUGGUACUCCAUGUCCAGCGCGUGGAUGAUGUAGGAGACGAUCUCGUCGUCUUGCAGCGGCUUGCCGGCCGCGGCGAGUUCAUCAGCGAGGCCGCGCAUGUGGGCGAAGAAGGUGGCGACCGGCUGAGUUCCCUUCUGCGCAUGCAGCAAAGCCGUGUGUAUGUAGUUGACACGGCUAAGCGACUGCGAGGAGAACAUGGCCGCCAAAGUGGUCCAGAGCGCGUGCAUCGUGGUGAUCGCGGUCACCUGCACCAACACCUCUUUUGAGAUAUUAUUGAGCAGGUACCCGAGCACUUGUUGGUCCUACCGGACCCAGAUUGGUGGAGAGGGUUGGGCUCGGUGGAUUCCUUGCCGUCCUUGUCCUUGCCAGGAAGGAAGCGGGCUGGCUCCGGCGUGCUGCCUGAUGACCCACAAGUAUAGGGGAUCUAUCAUAGUUCUUUCGAUAAGUAAGAGUGUCGAACCCAAUGAGGAGCAGAAGGAAAUGAUAAGCGGUUUUCAGCAAGGUAUUCUCUGCAAGUACUGAAAUAAGUGGUAACAGAUAGUUUUGUGAAGGGAUAAAUUGUAACGAGCAACAAGUAACAAAAGUAAAUAAAGUGCAGCAAGGUGGCCCAAUCCUUUUGUAGCAAAGGACAAGCCGGAACAAACUCUUAUAAUAGGAAAAGCGCUCCCAAGGACACAUGGGAAUAUCGCCAAGCUAGUUUUCAUCACGUUCAUAUGAUUCGCGUUCGAUACUUUGAUAAUUUGAUAUGUGGGUGGACCGGUGCUUGGGUGUUGUUCUUACUUGAACAAGCAUCCCACUUAUGAUUAACCUCUGUUGCAAGCAUCCGCAACUACAACAAAAGUAUUAAGGUAAACCUAACCAUAGCAUGAAACAUGUGGAUCCAAAUCAGCCCCUUACGAAGCAACACAUAAACUACGGUUUAAGCUUCUGUCACUCUAGCAACCCAUCAUCUACUUAUUACUUCCCAAUGCCUUCCUCUAGGCCCAAAUAAUGGUGAAGUGUUAUGUAGUCGACGUUCACAUAACACCACUAGAGGCUAGACAACAUACAUCUUAUCAAAAUAUCAAACGAAUACCAAAUUCACAUGACUACUCAUAGAAAGACUUCUCCCUUGUCCUCAGGAACGAACGUAAUUACUCACAAAGCAUAUUCAUGUUCAUAAUCAGAGGGGUAAUAAAAUGCAUAUAGGAUCUAAACAUAUGAUCUUCCACCAAUUAAACCAACUAGCAUCAACUACAAGGAGUAAUCAACACUACUAGCAACCUACUAGCACCAAUCCCGGACUUUGAGACAAGAAUUGGAUACAAGAGAUGAACUAGGGUUUGGAGAUGAGAUGGUGCCGAUGAAGAUGUUGAUGGAGAUUGCCCUCUCCUGAUGAGAGGAGCGUUGGUGAUGACAAUGGUGAUGAUUUCCCCCUCCCAGAGGGAAGUAUCCCCGGCAAAACAGCUCUGCCGGAGCUAUAGAUUGGAUCCGCCAAGGUUCUGCCUCGUGGCGGCGGAGUCUCGUCCUGAAAAGUUCCUCCUCAUUUUUCUCUCAUUGAAAUACCUCAUAUAGGAGAAGAUGGGCAUCGGAGAGCCACCAGGGGGGCCACGAGGUAGGGGGCGCGCCCUAGGGGGGCGCCCCCCACCCUCGUGAGAAGGGUGUGGGCCCCCUGGCCUUCAUCUUUGGCGUGGAUUUUUCUUUAUUUCUUUUAAGACGUUCCGUGGAGUUUCAGGACUUUUGGAGUUGCGCAGAAUAGGUCUCUAAUAUUUGCUCCUUUUCCAGACCAGAAUUCCAGCUGCCGGCAUUCUCCCUCUUUAUGUAAACCUUGUAAAAUAAGAGAAAAUAGCCAUAAGUAUUGUGACAUAAAGUGAAAUAACAGUCCAUAAUGCGAUAAAUAUCGAUAUAAAAGCAUGAUGCAGAAUGGAUGUAUCAACUCCCCCAAGCUUAGACCUCGCUUGUCCUCAAGCGAAAAGCCGAUAACAAUAAAUAUGUCGUCAUGUUUAGAGGUAGAGGCGUCGAUAAAAAUAAAAUACGGACAUGAAGGCAUCAUGAUUAUUCUCAUAAGAGCAACAUAUAUAGAUUUGGUUAUAUGAUUACUUAUGUUCAAGUGAUGAUCUAUUCACAAUGCAAAAGUAUAAAUCAUAACCCUUAUUGGGCUCCGACAAACUAUAAUCUCAGUCAUUGAAGCAAUUGCAAUUUAUCGUAACAUCGGAAAGAGUCUAUGUCAGAGCUAAAAAGCAAGUCCACAUACUCAAUUAUCAUUUAGUCCUCCAUAAUUGCUAACACUCACGUGAUACUUGUGGUUACAGAGUUUUAAUCGGACACAGAGAAAGAUAGGGGCUUAUAGUUUUGCCCCACAACCUUUUACCUCAAGGGUAAUAUCAACAAUAAUGGUUCAUGCUCUCCUACAUCCAAUUACAUAUAUAUAUCAUGUUCUUUCCAACAUGCUGAGCUUGCCAAAGGAUAAAAUGAAAAAGAAAAGGUGAACAUCACCAUGACUCUUGCAUAAGGUAGAAGAUAAUAAUAAAGGAUAGGCCCUUCACAAAGGGAAGUAGAGGUUGCCAUGCGCUUUUAUGGUUGGAUAUAUAAAAUCUCAAUGCGAAAGAAAGUCACUUUAUAUUGCCCCUUGUUAUAUGAACCUUUACUAUGCAGUCCGUCGCUUUUAUUACUUCCACAUCACAAGAUCGUAUAAAGCUUAUUUCUCCCACACCAAUCAAUCAUACAUAUUUAGAGCAAUUUUUAUUGCUUUGCACCGAUGACAACUUACUUGAAGGAUCUUACUCAAUCCAUAGGUAGAUAUGGUGGACUCUCAUGGCAAAAUCGGUUUAAGGAUAUUUGGAAGCACAAGUAGUAUUUCUACUUGGUGCUGAGAAUUUGGCUAGCAUGAGGGGGAAAGGCAAGCUCAACAAGUUAGAGGAUCCAUGACAACAUACUUUAUCUCAGAUAUAAGAAAGACAUGACUCAUUACGUCGUCUUCCUUGUCCAACAUCAACUCUUUAGCAUGUCAUAUUUUAAUGAGUACUCUCAAUCAUAAAAGAUGUCAAUGAUAAUAUAUCUAUAUGUGAAACCUCUCUUUCCUUAUUACUUCCUAUUAAUUGCAACAAUGACCAAAGUUAUGUCUGCCAACUCCCAACAACUUUUAAUCAUCAUACUCUUUCUAUGUGAAGUCAUUACUCUCAAUAAGAUCAAUAUGAAUUUUUUGUUUCUUUUUAUUCUUUUUCUCUUUUCUUUUAUUUACCCAAGAUCAUGGCAAAAUAAUCAAGCCCUUGACUCAACACUAAUCUUUAUUAUAAAUAGUUCAUGGACUCGAUUACAUAGAGAGAUCAUAAAGCAAAACUCAAAACUUGAUCAUGGCAUAAACUUUAUUCUACUGGAUCAAGAUACUACUAAUAGGAUCGAACUAAGAAAAAUGGUAAAAAUAGGAGUUGUGAUUGUGAUACGAUACCGGGGCAUCUCCCCCAAGCUUGGCAGUUGCCAAGGGGAGUGCCCAUACCCAUGUGAUUAUAUCUCCUUUGUCGGUGAAGAAGGUGGUGGUGACGGAUAAUCGCACAUCGAGCGUAAGAGGUCCUCCAGCUUGCGAAUAAUGCCCUUGAGUGCAACAAUAUGCUCCUUUAACAAAAUAUUUUCUUGUGUGAGAUACUUGUUUUAUAUACGAGCUAACUCAAUCAUCUUGAAAGCUUCAAUCUCAGUUGGGGUAAGAAGGUUAUGAUCAAUUUGAAGGGUGUCUUUUGCUGCUGGGGCUUGAUCCUCCGUGGCCUUCUUGAUCCUUUCAUCCUUGUUGACCUUCGUGGGUUCUUCCCUCUUCAGAUCUAUCUUCAUUAGCCAAGCAUCAUUGUCACCAUUGUUGGAGGAGGGAGACGACAUGAUGCUUAGUCUAGAAAACCCUGAUAGAAAACAGCUCGAAACGAAAACAGAGGAGGUUUGCGUGAUACGGGAGUCAAAACCUUCGGGAGAAUAUAUAAUGAAUUUUUACCGACCAAAAUACGUAAUGUGCAAGAAAACGGAGUCCGGAAAGCACUCGAGGUGCUCACGAGGUAGGGGGCGCACCCACCACCCUCGUGUCCUUCCCGGACUGCUACUUAUUUUUCUAUUUUUCUAAAUAUUCCAAAACGGAGAAAUGUUGCCUUAAAAAUUGUUUUGGAGUCGGUUUACUUACCGUAUCACAUACCUAUUCCUUUUCGGAGUCUGAAAUGUUCCGGAAAGUGUCCCUUAUGUAUUCCUCCGGGGUUACGGUUUCAAUAAUAUUGGUUUCAACAUUUAUGGGAUUACCUGAGAUAUAAUGUUUGAUUCUUUGACCGUUUACCACCUUCGGAUUUGUGCCCUCGAAGUUGUUGAUUUUUAUGGCACCAGAAUGAUAGACCUCUUCGAUAACAUAGGGGCCUUCCCAUUUAGAGAGAAGUUUCCCUGCAAAAAAUCUUAAAGGAGAGUUGUAUAGCAAUACAUAAUCACCUACAUUAAACUCACGCUUUUGUAUCCUUUUGUCAUGCCAUCUUGUAACUUUUUCUUUAAACAACUUGGCAUUUUCAUAAGCUUGGGUUCUCCAUUCAUCAAGUGAGCUAAUAUCAAAUAACCUCUUUUCACCGGCAAGUUUAAAAUCAUAGUUAAGCUCUUUAAUAGCCCAAUAUGCCUUAUGUUCUAGUUCUAGAGGUAAGUGACAUGCUUUUCCAUAGACAUUUUAUACGGAGACAUACCCAUAGGAUUUUUGUAUGCGGUUCUAUAAGCCCAUAACGCAUCAUCAAGUUUCUUAGACCAAUUCUUUCUAGACCUAUUAACAGUCUUUUGCAAAAUUAAUUUGAGCUCUCUAUUGCUCAACUCUACUUGACCACUAGACUGAGGGUGAUAAGGAGAUGCAAUUCUAUGAUUAACAUCAUAUUUAGCAAGCAUUUUACGGAAAGCACCAUGAAUAAAGUGUGAACCACCAUCAGUCAUUAAAUAUCUAGGGACUCCAAACCUCGGAAAAAUAACUUCCUUAAGCAUUUUAAUAGAAGUGUUAUGAUCAGCACUACUAGUUGGAAUAGCUUCUACCCACUUAGUAACAUAAUCAACAGCAACUAGAAUAUGUGUGUAUCCAUUAGAGGCAGGAAAAGGUCUCAUAUAAUCAAAGCCCCAAACAUCAAAUGGUUCAAUAACAAGUGAAUAAUUCAUAGGCAUUUCUUGAUGUCUACUAAUAUUACCAAUUCUUUGACAUUCAUCACAAGACAAGACAAACUUACGAGCAUCCUUGAAGAGAGUAGGCCAAUAAAAACCAGAUUGCAAUACCUUAUGUGCAGUUCUAUCUCCAGCGUAGUGUCCUCCAUAAGACUCAGAGUGACACUUGUGUAGGAUCUGUUCCUGUUCAUGCUCAGGUACACAACGUCUAAUAACACCAUCUACCCCUUCUUUAUAAAGAUGUGGGUCAUCCCAAAAGUAAUGUCUUAAAUCAUAGAAGAACUUUUUCUUUUGUUGGUACGUGAAGCUAGGUGGUAUAAAUUUAGCAACAAUAUAAUUAGCAUAAUCAGCAUACCAUGGAGUACUACGAGAAGUACUUAUAACAUUUAAUUGUUCAUCAGGAAAGUUAUCAUUAAUAGGUAGUGGGUCACCAAGAAUAUUUUCUAACCUAGACAGGUUGUCUGCAACGGGGUUCUCAGCUCCCUUUAUAUCAACAAUAUGCAAAUCAAAUUCUUGUAGCAAGAGGACCCAUCUAAUAAGUCUAGGUUUAGCAUCUUUCUUUUCCAUAGGAUAUUUAAUAGCAACAUGAUCUGUUUGAAUAGUUACUUUAGAAUCAACAAUAUAAGAUCUGAACUUAUCACAAGCAAAUACAACUGCUAAAAGUUCUUUUUCAGUAGUAGCAUAAUUUAUUUGAGCAUUGUCUAGAGUCUUACUAGCAUAAUGAAUAACAUUUAAUUUCUUAUCAACUCUUUGCCCUAGAACAGCACCUACAGCAUAAUCACUAGCAUCACACAUAAUUUCAAAGGGUAGGUUCCAAUCAGGUGGCUGAACAACAGGUGAAGUGACUAAUACUUUCUUAAGUAUUUCAAAUGCUUCUACACAAUCAUCAUCAAAGACAAAUGGUAUAUCUUUUUGCAAUAAAUUAGUCAGAGGCCGAGAAAUUUUUUAGAAGUCCUUAAUGAACCUCCUAUAAAAUCCAGCGUGACCAAGGAAACUUCUUAUACCUUUGAUGUCCUUGGGACAUGGCAUCUUUUCAAUAGCAUCAACCUUGGCUUUAUCAACUUCAAUACCUCUUUCAGAAACUUUGUGCCCCAAGACAAUACCUUCAUUAACCAUAAAGUGGCACUUUUCCCAAUUCAAGACAAGAUUAGUUUCUUCACAUCUCUGCAAAACUCGAUCAAGAUUGCUCAAUAAAUCAUCAAAAGAGGAACCAUAAACGGAAAAGUCGUCCAUGAAAACCUCACAAUUCUUUUCACAAAAGUCAGAGAAUAUAGCCAUCAUGCAUCUUUGAAAGGUAGCAGGUGCAUUACAUAAACCAAAAGGCAUAUGUCUAUAAGCAAAAGUACCAAAAGGGCAUGUAAAAGUAGUCUUUGAAUGAUCUCUAGCCGACACAAGUAUUUGAGAGAAACCAGAAUAACCAUCUAGAAAGCAAUAGUGUGUAUGUUUGCAUAAUCUUUCUAGCAUUUGAUCAAUAAAAGGUAAGGGGUAAUGAUCUUUCUUAGUAGCUUUAUUUAAUUUGCGGAAAUCAAUUACCAUCCUAUAACCUGUGAUAAUUCUUUGUGGAACCAAUUCAUCUUUAUCAUUAGGAACAACAGUAAUACCUCCCUUCUUAGGGACACAAUGGACAUGACUUACCCACUCACUAUCAGCAACGGGAUAGAUUAUACCUGCCUCCAGAAGCUUUAGUAUUUCUUUUCUUACUACUUCUUUCAUUUUAGGAUUCAGACGGCGUUGAGGAUCACGAACUGGUUUGGCAUCUGCUUCCAAAUUUAUUUUAUGUUGACAUAGAGUGGGACUAAUGCCCUUAAGAUCAUCAAGAGUAUAUCCAAUAGCAGCACGAUGCUUCUUUAGAGUUUUCAAUAAUCUUUCUUCUUCAUGCUCUGAAAGGUUAGCACUAAUAAUAACAGGAUAUAUCUUCUUUUCAUCAAGAUAAGCAUAUUUAAGAUUAUCAGGCAACGGUUUAAGCUCAAACACGGGAUCACCCUUGGGUGGAGGAGGAUCCCCUAAAAUUUCAACAGGCAAGUUGUGAUGCAAAAUAGGUUCCUGUUUAAAGAAUACUUCAUCUAUUUCCCUUCUUUCAUUCAUUAACAUAUCAUUUUCAUGGUCUAGCAAAUAAUGUUCUAAAGGAUCACUAGGAGGUACGGCAAUAGAAGCAAGACCAAUAAUUUCAUCCUUACUAGGUAAUUCUUCCUCAUGAUGUUGUUUACUAAAUUUAGAGAAAUUAAACUCAUGAACCAUAUCAUCCAAACCAAUAGUAACAAUAUUCUUAGUGCAGUCUAUGGUAGCAUUGACAGUGUUUAAGAAAGUUCUACCAAAUAUAAUUGGACAAAAGCUAUCUUGCGGAGAAGUAAGAACAAGAAAAUCAGCAGGAUAUUUAGUUUUCCCACACAAGACUUCAAUAUCUCUAACAAUUCCAAUUGGUGCAAUAGUAUCUCUAUUAGCAAGUUUAAUAGUGACAUCAAUAUCUUCUAACUCAACAGGUGCAAUUUCAUUCUUAAUUUCUUUGUAUAAGUCAUGAGGUAUAACACUAGCACUAGCACCCAUAUCACAUAAGCCAUGAUAACAAUGAUCUCCUAUUUUAACAGAAAUAACAGGCACGCCUACCACAGGUCUAUGUUUACCUUUAUCACAAGGUUUAGCAAUUCUAGCAGUUUCACCUUCGAACUGAAUAACAUGCCCAUCAAUAUUAUCAUACAAGAGAUCUUAAAUAAUAGCAAUAUUAGGUUCUACUUUAACUUGCUCAGGAGGUGUAUAAGUUCUAAUAUUGCUUUUAUGAACAACAGUUGAAACUUUAGCAUGAUCCUUUAUUCUAACAGGGAAAGGUGGUUUCUCAAUAUAAGAAGUAGGAACAAUAGGAUCAUUAUAAGUGACAGUCUUUUCUUCAACUUUAAUAGGUGCAGCUACUUUUACUUCUAUGGGAGGAUGAUAUUUAAACCACUUCUCCUUAGAGAGAUCAACAUAAGUAGCAAAAGAUUCACAGAAAGAAGCUACUAUCUCAGAGUCAAGUCCAUAUUUAGUGCUAAACUUACGGAAAAUAUCGGUAUCCAUAAAAGAUUUAACACAACCAAACUUAGGUGUCAUACCUGACUCCUUACCUUCGUCGAUGUCCCAAUUUUCAGAGUUGCAUUUAAUUCUAUCCAAUAAAUUCCAUCUGAAUUCAAUAGUCUUCAUCAUAAAAGAGCCAGCACAAGAAGUAUCGAGCAUGGUGCGAUUGUUUUCAGAAAGCCGAGCAUAAAAACUUUGCAUAAUUAUUUCUCUUAAGAGCUCAUGAUUGGGGCAUGAAUAUAACAUUGAUUUAAGCCUCCCCCAAGCUUGAGUGAUGCUUUCUCCUUCACGAGGCUAGAAAUUAUAUAUAUAAUUGCGAUCACGAUGAACAAGAUGCAUAGAGUAAUACUUUUGAUGAAAUUCCAGCUUCAAUCUUUUAUAGUCCCACGAUCUCAUAUCAUCACAUAGCCUAUACCAUAUCAAUGUGUCUCCCUUCAAAGAUAAAGGGAAGACCUUCUUCUAAGCAACAUCAUCGGGUAUACCUGCAAGCUUAAAUAAUCCACAAACUUCAUCCACAUAUAUUAAGUGCUCAUCAGGAUGCUUUGUUCCAUCUCCUGUAAAAGGAUUAGCUAGCAGUUUUUCUAUCAUACCCGAAGGAUACUCAUACGGAAUUUCAUUUUCAAUAGGUUCAGUAGGUUGAGGAGCAACUCUUUGCUCUACUGGACGGGGUGAAGAUACCCCGAACAAGCCCCUCAGAGAAUUACUUUCCAUAGUAACAAGUGACAGUAAAUUUCAGCACACUAUAUAAAAUUUUCCUUACCAAAUUCCACCUACCAAAGGCGCUACACUCCCCGGCAACGGCGCCAGAAAAGAGUCUUGAUGAUCCACAAGUAUAGGGGAUCUAUCUUAGUCCUUUCGAUAAGUAAGAGUGUCGAACCCAAUGAGGAGCAGAAGGAAAUGAUAAGCGGUUUUCAGCAAGGUAUUCUCUGCAAGUACUGAAAUAAGUGGUAACAGAUAGUUUUGUGAAGGGAUAAAUUGUAACGAGCAACAAGUAACAAAAGUAAAUAAAGUGCAGCAAGGUGGCCCAAUCCUUUUGUAGAAAAGGACAAGCCGGAACAAACUCUUAUAAUAGGAAAAGCGCUCCCGAGGACACAUAGGAAUAUCGUCAAGCUAGUUUUCAUCACGUUCAUAUGAUUCGUGUUCGAUACUUUGAUAAUUUGAUAUGUGGGUGGACCGGUUCUUGGGUGCUGUUCUUACUUCAACAAGCAUCCCACUUAUGAUUAACCUCUAUUGCAAACAUCCGCAACUACAACAAAAGUAUUAAGGUAAACCUAACCAUAGCAUGAAACAUGUGGAUCCAAAUCAGCCCCUUACGAAGCAACGCAUAAACUAGGGUUUAAGAUUCUGUCACUCUAGCAACCCAUCAUCUACUUAUUACUUUCCAAUGCCUUCCUCUAGGCCCAAAUAAUGGUGAAGUGUUAUGUAGUCGACGUUCACAUAACACCACUAGAGGCUAGACAACAUACAUCUUAUCAAAAUAUCAAACAAAUACCAAAUUCACAUGACUACUCAUAGCAAGACUUCUCCCUUGUCCUCAGGAACGAACGUAAUUACUCACAAAGCAUAUUCAUGUUCAUAAUCAGAGGGGUAAUAAUAUGCAUAUUGGAUCUGAACAUAUGAUCUUCCACCAAUUAAACCAACUAGCAUCAACUACAAGGAGUAAUCAACACUACUAGCAACCUACUAGCACCAAUCCCGGACUUUGAGACAAGAAUUGGAUACAAGAGAUGAACUAGGGUUUGGAGAUGAGAUGGUGUUGGUGAAGAUUUUGAUGGAGAUUGCCCUCUCCCGAUGAGAGGAGCGUUGGUGAUGACGAUGGUGAUGAUUUCCCCCUCCCGGAGGGAAGUAUCCCCGGCAGAACAGCUCUGCCAGAGCUCUAGAUUGGAUCCGCCAAGGUUCCGCCUCGUGGCGGCGGAGUCUCGUCCUGAAAAGUUCCUCCUCAUUUUUUUCUCAUCGAAAGACCUCAUGUAGGAGAAGAUGGGCAUCGGAGAGCCACCAGGGGGCCCACGAGGUAGGGGGCGCGCCCUAGGGGGGGCGCGCCCCCCACCCUCGUGAGAAGGGUGUGGGCCCCCUGGCCUUCAUAUUUGGCGUGGAUUUUUCUUUAUUUCUUUUAAGACGUUCCGUGGAGUUUCAGGACUUUUGGAGUUGCGCAGAAUAGGUCUCUAAUAUUUGCUCCUUUUCCAGACCAGAAUUCCAGCUGCCGGCAUUCUCCCUCUUUAUGUAAACCUUGUAAAAUAAGAGAAAAUAGCCAUAAGUAUUGUGACAUAAAGUGAAAUAACAGUCCAUAAUGUGAUAAAUAUCAAUAUAAAAGCAUGAUGCAGAAUGGACGUAUCGCUGCCAUCGGCAUAGCUGAAGACGCCUGCUCCCCUUAGCUGCCGCAUGAUCUGGACGCACCACAGUACAUAGUUCGUAUGGGUGAGCUUCUCCGUGACCUGACUGUUGAGGUCGGUCUGGGAGGAGCCGGAGGAAGACAUGCUAAGCACUAAUGGAGAUUGGAGAAACUAGAUGUAUUGGAAGAAGGAUGCUCUGAUUACCAUGUGCGAUAGGCGGAAAGCGUCUUACCCUCGUAUGAGGGGGCGCCAUGCAUGUUUAUAGGCAGGGGCGCACAUCCCUGAUAGCGCAUACAAGUUGUUGACAUUACAUGCUUGGAGGAGAAGGGAUAAGAGAGAAUAAAGAGAGUUCGGUUUACAAGAGAUAAGUAUCAUCUAUGCAACCGAAAGCACUUAAACACCUAUCUCUAUCUAUCCCUAUGUCACGUACAAUGUUGCGUUUAACAAUCUUGAAUCUUGGAUCUAACACGACAGGUAUUGACAGCCACACGUAUGAGUUUUGCUAAUACUCAUCGAACGCUUCAUGCAUCUCCAUGACCAGAGUCACAAUCUCUAUGUGAUCGUUUGAUGCUUCUUCUUGCAGAACUGUCCUCACUUUCCAUACCUUGCUGAAGUAUACAUUUGUUGUCGGAGAUCUAGGGCUAGAAAUUACUUCGAUAACCUUGGUUUCAUAUCUGAUGGAAAUACCUACCGUCGUUGUGCUGCAUCAUCCCUUUCUCUUUGGGGAAAUACCGACGUAGCUUCAAGCGACAUCAAUACGUCCAUUUUGCAUCAUGUUUACCUACUGUUAUUUAUAAUGUUUUUAUGCAUAAUAAUGCUUUUUGAAGUAAUUCUAAUGCCUUUUCUCUCAUAAUUUGCAAGGUUCACACAAAGAGGGAGCAUUUCGGCAGCUGGAAAUCUGGACCUGGAAAAGCUACAUCAGACCACCUAUUCUGCACAACUCCAAAUGGGUUGAAACUCCACGAGGAAUUUUUAUUGAACAAAUAAGAAAUACUGGAGAAAAUAACCACUGGAGGGGGGCCACCUGGUGAGCACAAGACACCAGGGCGUGCCUGGCCCCUCAGGUGCGUUCUGGUGGGUUGUGCUCAGCCCAGCCCACCUCCGGUGCCCAUCUUCUGGUAUAUAAGUCAUUUUGACCUAGAAAAAUAAAGGAGAGGGCUUUCGGGACGGAGCGCCGCUGUCUCGAGGCGGAACUUGGGCAGGAGCAUUUUUUCCCUCUGGCGGAGCGAUUUCACCGGGGGAACUUCCCUCCCGGAGGGGGAAAUCAUCGUCAUCAUCAUCACCAACAACUCUCCCAUCUUGAGGCGGGCAAUCUCCAUCAACAUCUUCAACAACACCAUCUCAUCUCAAAUCCUAGUUCAUCUCUUGUGUUCAAUCUUUGUACCGAAACUAUAGAUUGGUGCUUAUGGGUGACCAGUAUAGUGUUGAUUACAUCUUGUAGCUCAUUGCUAUAUGGUUUAUUUGGUGGAAGAUUAUAUGUUUAGAUCCAAUAAGCUAUUUAAUACCCCUCUGACUUGACCAUGGUGAUCAUUUGUGAGUAGUUACUUUUGUUCUUGAGGUCACGGGAGAAAUCUUGUUGCAAGUAAUCAUGUGAACUUGAUAUGUGUUCGAUAUUUUGAUAGUAUGUAUGUUGUGAUUCCCUUAGUGGUGUCAUGUGAAUGUCGACUACAUGACACUUCACCAUAUUUGGGCCUAAGGGAAUGCAUUGUGGAGUAGUAAUUAGAUGAUGGGUUGCGAGACUGACAGAAGAUUAAACCCUAGUUUAUGAGCUAUUCCGUAAGGGACCGAUUGGAUCCAAAAGUUUAAUGCUAUGGUUAGAAUUUAUUCUUAAUACUUUUCUCGUAGUUGUGGAUGCUUGCGAGGGGGUUAAUCAUAAGUAGGAGGUAUAUUCAAGUAAGAACAACACCUAAGCUCUGAUCCACCCACAUAUCAAAUUAUCAAAGUAGCGAAGACGAAUCGAACCAACAUGAUGAAAGUGACUAGAUGAAAUUCCCGUGUACCCUCAAGACCGCUUUGCUUAUUAUAAGAGACCGUUUUAGCCUAUCCUUUGCCUCAAAAGGAUUGGGCUACCUUGCUGCACUUUUGUUACUACUAUUUUUAUUUGCUCGUUACAAAUUAUCUCGCUAUCAAACUACUCUGUUACUUACAAUUUUAGCACUUGCAGACAUUACCUUGCUGAAGACCACUUGUCAUUUCAUUCUGCUCCUCGUUGGGUUCGACACUCUUAUUUAUCGAAAAGACUAAAAUUGAUCCCAUAUACUUGCGGGUCAUCAGUGGCGCCGACCCUUCGUCGGGGAUGCCGGCCAGGUGGUGGGUCCUUGUGGCGGCGCUGGUGGCGAUGGAUCUUGGGAUCCCGCUCCCGGUACGUUGCAGGAUGCGGCAGCCCGUGCACAUGAGAUUGAGUUUCUUCAAACAGAUCUGGAUGAAAACUUGCUUUCGGCUACUGCCAAGGCUGGCGGUGGCGGCGUUGUUUGCGGCAUUUCCUUCUUGAAGGCAUCGCCGUGGAGAAGCUCAAGGCCACUUUUUGCUACCACCGGAGCAAAUCGUAGACCAGUAGAUCGGAUGACAGCGGCGCUCUGGUGUUGUUUCCCCCUUGGGGGCGUCAUUCAUGGAGAUACACACGGGUUCGAGGGAAUAGAAGACGGCUUAUUUGGUGGAGCAGUGCUUCAUCUUACACAUUGAUGGCGGCGGAUCUCGUCGGUGUGGUGCUAUGGAGACUCGGAGUCCGAUGCGCGGAGAUGGACUCGCGCGGGAGGAUGUUGUCUAGGGUCAUGGUGACGUCGAUGGCAGAGAGGCCUAGCAAGGUCGGUGCAUUAGUUUCUGCUCUAAAGAUUGAUUGGUGGAAGAUGGUGGCGACGACACAGAGAGUGUGUCGGAUCAGUUUGUGCCCCAAACCCAGUAUGUGGCUUGGUUGGGGCCUCUGCCUUUAGAUGUUAGGCAUUUGUGCGAUGUCUGUUUGGUAUUAGGCUCGGACUAUCGGCACCCCUUCAUCAGGUGAAUAGAAGUAGCGACAGUUGUUGCUAAGAUGGUGGCUUCAGACUACAUAAUGUACUACUUUGUAAGAUCUUUGUGAAUAACUAAUAAAAUGGCUACAUGCAUCAUCCAGAUGCAGAGGCCGGGGAUAAUCCUUCUUUUCUAAAAAGAGAACUACUUGUACAUGCCGCAAGUAGUUUGAACCCACACAGGCAGACCAGUAAAUGUAGGAUGCAAAUGAUAUUAGUGGUGACCAUUUCUGACCGCACGCCGCUAGUUCAUAUAGUACAUACUAGUGUCGAGCCUUUGUAUUGAAUCGCUGCUGGUAGUUCUUGGCAUCAGAGCCCUCUUUGUGUAUCUUAGCAGCAACGUGUCAUUUUUUGGAACACUGCUAGUAAUAUGACAACAGUAAUGUGCUUUUUUAGCUAAACACUGCUUGUGUUUUGCCAAGUUUGCGACGGCAUGUCAUUUUUGCCAGACGUUGUUAUUACCAAAAUACUAUGAGACCUCCUUUCGUUCAUAGGAUAAGAAUGCUAUAGUAAUAUGAAAAUCAAAGGAAGUGAGAUGACAUGCAUCUCAAUUCUUAUAGAGAAAGACAUGUCAUUUGAUGCAUAGGAUAGGAAUUUUUCCAUUGAGUCUUCUAAUGUUUUUUCCUUCAAAAUGUGAAGGAUUGAUUCCUAUCCUAUAUAGGAAUAGGAAUCCAUUCCUACAAACCAAAGGGCUUGAAAGGAAAUUUUCCUUCGCAAAUCCUAUCAUAUAGAAAUUCUAUGAAAUUCCUAUGAACCAAAGAAGGCCUGAAGGGUUCCUGCACUAGUGGCUGACACUAAGGUAGGAGAGGAGGUCACAACCUUUGGCUCGUGGGAUUCGUUGGCGAGGCACACGCUAUUUAGAAGACGCAUAGUCGCAGUCGUGUGCGUCGUUGAUAAAGCCGACGUCACUACUACAGGGCCGCGCUUGGGGUUGUCAUGGCUGGCGAGCUCGGGGCGGGGCAACACACACCACCCAUGAUAUGACCAGUCUCAACUAUAGUCAGACCAACGACAACGACAAUGUACAAGCUGCCAACCAGAAUCAUGUUUUUGCAGCUCCAUUAGUCACUGUUGGUGAUAUCGUUGUACCGUCAUAUUUAGAAUCAAGCUUUGGCAAUGAACUAGUUAUCGCUACAUGUAUCCAUGUGGUUCGGCCAAGAAAGAUUGUUGUUGUUCGGCCAAAAGAGGAAGUGAUAUUUGUUGCGCCUAAGAACGCAAUGAGCGUGAGCAUGUAUAUUGAUUUUGGCUGCCUUGGUACACAUGCGCACGUGAAGAAUAUUGGUGAUUCAAACUACAGGAAGAGAUCGGAUCCAUUUAAAAAGUACAGGUCCAGGUUUAAGCUUUGCCUGCUGUUUUUAUUUCUUCCACGCAAGGAAUACCAGGCAGGUGAGGACGAGGAUCCUCUGCCGUUCGGCAGGGUGUCUUUCGACCACUGACUGAUGGACCCAUCGGGGAACAGGCCCACAUGGCAGCGCCACAACGGCAGGAGCCGCACGUUAGGGGAGCCGCUUCCGGCAGGUGAAAGGACGUGCUGCAUGUGGAGUCUCCUAUGCUUAAAAGAAAUCGGAUGGGGUCCACCAACAGAAGAAUAAAGCUGGCGGCCAUGUAACAAAUCUAGUAGUUUUUGUCUAGUUAAAUAGAUCACAAGUCGGUUAUCAUAUGCUUACGAUGUUUCCUUGUUUUUUAAGUGUACGUAACAAGCCUUGCUUCCCAAGAUAGUUAGGUGUGCGGCUAUUAUAUAAAGCCAAUCUAGUUCUUUGUAAGAGGAGAUUAUUUUUUAUGAAUAGACACAAUGUCUUUUUAGGGUAAAUACCCGUAUCGAGUUUUGGGGGAAACUGUCUAAAAAUCCUUAAGUUUUGGAGGAAGCUUUAGAAAACCUCUGUGUUGCGAUUUUUGUGUGAGGAAAUUGUUUUGCGCGUGAGUACCGUCGUCGAGAUUGGUUUUCUCGUGCUGAGCCACAAGGUUCAAACCCUUUAUUUCGUGUACAUCGCGUGCGCGGGCGAGAGGUUGCUACUGCUGAAGAAGAAGUGUCGUGAAAGAUCGGGCCGCAAUAACGGAUCAGACCUCACCUUAAGCUUUGGUCUACAUCAACCCACUUCCAUUCAGAAUUGCUCGUGCUUGCCAUAAAGAUGUCGUGCAGCGCCUUCAUCCUCGGGCACUCUUCAAUCAUGGCUCGCAUCAGAGUCAUGGUGAGGCCUCUUUUGGUUCAUAGGAUAGGAUUAUCAUAGGAAUAGGAAUUUUGUAGAAAAUGAGAUGGCAUGUAUCUCAAAUUCUAUGAGUAAGAAUAGGAAACGAGAUGGCAUUUGGUUGACACCAAAGAAAUUUUUCCACUGAGUCUAGGCUCAUUUUUAUUUUCCUAUGAAAUGUGAAGGAUAGGAACCAAUCCUAUGUAGGAAUAGGAAUCUAUUCCUAUGAACCAAAGGGCUCUAAAGGAAAAAAAUCCUAUAAAAUUCCUAUCCUCUAAAAUUCCUAUGAAAUUCCUCCAAACCAAAGGAGGCCUUUGUGGGAGAAAAAAAAUUAGGCCUCCUUUGGUUUGUAGGAAUUUUAUAGGAACUCUAUAGGAUGGGAUUUGCAAAGGAAAAAUUCCUUUGAAGUCAUUUGGUUUAUAGGAAUGGAUUUCUAUUCCUAUGUAGGUUAGAAAUCAAUCCUUCAUAUUUUGGAGGAAAAAAGACAUUAGCCUAGACUCAAUGAAAAAAUUCAUAUUCUAUGCACCAAAUAACAUCUCUUUCUCUAUAGGAAUUGAGAUGCAUGUCAUCUCACUUCCUAUGAUUUUCCUAUCCUAUGAACCAAAGGAGGUGAUCCUUUGGUUCAUAGGAAUAAAAAGUCACAGGAAAUAAGAUAACAUGUAUCUGAAAUCCUAUGAAUAGGAAUAGAAAAGAAGAUGUCCUUUGCUUCACAUUAUAGGAUUUUUACUAUUAAGGCCUCCUUUGGUUUACAGGAAUUUCAUAGGAUUUCUAUAGGAUAGGAUUUGCAAAGGAAAAGUUUCAUUUGAAGCCCUUUGGUUUGUAGGAAUGAAUUCCUAUUCAUAUGUAGGAUAGGAAUCAAUCCUUCACAUUUUGGAGGAAAAAAAACAUUAGCUAAUUGAGAUGCAUGUCAUUUCACUUUCUAUGAUUUUCCUAUUCCUGUAAAAUUCCUAUCCUAUGAACCAAAGAAGGCCUAGGCUAAUGUUUAUUUUUCUAUGAAAUGUGAAGGAUAGAAAAAAUUCCUCCAUAGGAAUAUGAUUCUAUUCCUACAAAUCAAAAGGAUCUAAAGAAAAUUUUCCUAUACAAAUCCUAUCUUAUAGGAUUCCUACAAAAUUUCUACAAACCAAAGAAGGCCUAGAAUACCAAAUGAUAGCACCCACUACUUCUAUGACAUGAAUCAAUCAUUGGUCGGGAUUACGAACAGGAAUCAUAGAGGAAUUCAUGGUUGAGAAAAGGAAUCUGGAGGUGGAAGAUGAACAGUAUGCACAGACGCUACAGGGUGCAGCUAUGUAUCCCUUAUAGCCACCACAAGCGCAAUGGCGCGUGCAGCGCUCCCUAAAUGGGCUGGACCAAGAGACGUAGCUGCGUUGGAUGCUACUUCGUUCGUUUCCUUUUGAUCGCUCAUUAUCUUUGAUUUAUUCUUUUCUUUCAUAAUUUUAUUCAUAUUCCCAAAUAUCCUAAAAUAAAAAUAUUUAUAUUUAAAAUGCUUAUGCAGUGUUUAGAAACUGUUUAUGCAGUACUUAAAAAAAGUUCAUGAAACUUUUAAGAAUGUCAUUGGCUGUAAACAAAAUGUACGUUAAAAAUGUUCACAAGUUUCCAAAAAAACGUGACAUAUUAAUAAAAUACUACGUACCAUUGAUAAAAUUAUAAAUAUGUGCACAUGUUUCAAAAAAUAUCUUCAAAAUUUUUAAAAUACUUAUGCAAUGUAGAAAAACAUUCUCCUAUUCUAAAAAAGGUUUGAUGGCACUAAAAAAAUUCAAUGUGCAUUUAAAAAAAACAUGUAUUGAAAAAAAUUUGAACAUAUGUAUUUUUUUAAAUGUACAUCAAUUAUUCAAAAAAUGAUCAACGUGUAUCAAAAACAUGUAUACGGAAAAUGUAGAAUGUGUAUUGAAGAAAGUACGCAUGUGUUGAUUAAAAGAAUAAAAAAAUAAAAAAAUAAAACCGAUGAAGAAACACAAAAAACGGGGAAACCCGAUGAAAGAAAUGUAGAUCCACCCGAAACAAGCAUGAAAAAACACGCAAAAAAGGUUCAAAACAAUCACAGAAACAAACAGGGAUAAAUAACCACGUGAAAAAACAUGGUCAAAAUUAACUACAGAAACAAACAUGGAAAAAACCACACGGAAAACCGAUCAAAAAUCUUUCCUAAAAACUGCUCCCCCAGACACCUAUUGGACAGGCCCAUCAGUGCUCGUCUCAUUGGUGGGCUGGAUCGUGCCUGAGGGCCCAGCGAGGCCCACCCAGGUCGCUGGCACUAAAGAAGACCAGCCCUCGUACUAUUACGUGUUGCAGGCGCGAUUCAACAAUGGAUCCCCUCUAGUUAGGGUUUUACCUUCCUCUCGGCGCCGAUGGCGACGUAGAGACCUCUGAUCCCUCCCCCACCGAACUACGUCUUCUUCUCGGGCUGAUCCAGGGGCGUCCUUCGGGUCGCCACCCGGCCUUGGAAGGGAUCCAGAGUUUUUUGGCGGGGAUAGGAUUAGGUGCUCCCGUGCGGGAGCGAUCUGUCUUCUAGGGUUUAUCAUGGCGGACCGAGGCAGCACCUCUACAGCGAACAAGGGCAAAGCAAACCCGGUGGAUAUGAUGAAGGAACUAGCCCUCGAUGAGGACAACCUUGAUGACGUGGUUUUUGAGGACAAAGAUGCACCGGCAGAUGAGAAUCUCCGCUGGAUGAUCUUGGUCAGGGUUCAUAUGGAUAAAGACUUCAGCAACUACUGGUUUUUCCGCACGAUGCGUGCAGCCUGGGAUCUGGCGAGGCCGGUGAAGAUAAAAACUCUAGAGGAGAAUCUCUUCAUAAUGCAAUUUGAUUGUUUGGGUGAUUGGGAAAGAGUGACGCAGGGAGGUCCGUGGCACUUCAAGGGCAACCCUGUGAUCAUUGCCCCGUACGAUGGAUUCACCAAGCCUUCUACGAUCGAACUCUACAAGUUUGAGAUAUGGGCCCGGAUCAUUGAUCUACCCCCGGCGUAUCAUGGUAAAGUUAAGGUGUUGGCCUCCAAGUUUGGUGAGUUUGUUGACGCGGAACCCGCUUCUUUCGAUUUUGAAGGAAAUUUCUUCAGGGUAAGGGUACGGCUGGAUGUUCGUAAUCCGUUAAAGAAGGCCACCUCACUGAUCCAUGGUGGCGAACGAGAGAUAUUUGCAGUCCGCUAUGAGAGGCUACCGGACUGGUGCCAGGUGUGUGGUAUGAUGGGGCAUCAGUUCAAGGAACAUGGGGACGGCGUUCACCCACCGUUUGCGUUGGUGUUCAAGAAUCUGCGUGCGCCGGCCACCACCAGCUGGGCUACCAGGAGAAGGAGUAAUAGCCAGAAGCAGCAGCCAGCAAGGGGCAACUUCUCUGAAGCUGGAAGUGGUAUCGCCAAGGGGGGAGAGAAGGUCGUUAGUGCAGUUGAUGACCCUGAACUGAGUCGCAAAAGAUCCUCAGAUGCAGUCCUGACCGAAUCAGCAAAGGAAGGGACAGGCUUGGAGCUCGCCCUGGUGGUCAAAGAUGCAGUUGUGAAUCAGGUUCCCCUGAGUCCACCCCCAAAGCAAGACCCCAAAGAACAAAAACUGUUAUGCAGGCUGAAAAGAAUAACUCAAGGGAUGGAAGAAAGGCACCGGCUAGCAAGAUCAACAACAACAAUGGUGCACGUUUGGCGGCCUCCUCCGGGGAGGACCGCCGUGCACAAUGAAUCUCUUGAGCUAGAAUUGUGGGGGAUUGGCAACGCCCCGACAAUUCAAGAGCUGCGAGAAACCACGAAAAAGUUUGCCCCUAAAGUACUAUGUAUUGUUGAAACCCAGAUUAGCGGUGAUAGAGCAGAAAAUCUCAAGGGUACUUUAGGCUAUGACAAUGCUUUUGCUGUUGAUUCCUCCGGUAGGAGUGGAGGUUUAUGUAUUUUUUGGAACAAUGAAAUAAAGACGGAGAUUUUAGGUUACUCUAAGUAUCAUAUAGAUGUCAAAAUCAGUAUGCUUGGGGGGGGGGGGACCGUGGAGGCUCUUAUGUUUCUAUGGGGAGGCCCAAACGCACCUCCGGCAUCAAACCUGGACAACCAUGUGUAAUCUGGCCACUCUCCAUAAUAUGCCUUGGAUGUGCUUGGGAGACUUUAAUGAAGUGCUCAGAUAUGACGAGCAUGAUGGAAUUGGUACUUGUAGUCAAACCCAGAACCAAGGAUUCAGGGAUGCAGUGGAUGUGUGUGGUCUGAUAGACCUCGGUUUCACUGGCAGAAAGUGGACGUAUGAGAAGAAGGUAGCAGGAGGGUCGUUCACAAAGGUGCGCCUAGACAGGGCACUUGGGAUGACCGAGUGGUGCACGCUCUUUCCUAACGCAACUGUUGAGCAUCUAUCGGCUGCAACUUCUGAUCACUCGCCCAUUCUCGUACACCUUGCCACAAUCAGUCCAGGAGCAAAGACUGAGAAGAGGUUCAGAUAUGAGGUAAUGUGGGACACUCAUGCGGAGUUGAAGCAAACAGUUCGGACUGCAUGGGAACCCGGGGGACAGCUAACAGCGAACGAAAUUCGAUCAACGCGCUUGCAAACAAUUUGGGAUAAUGGGCAAAGUCUUCUUUCGGAAGUGUUCGAGGGGAGAUUCGCAUCCUCAAGAAAGAACUUGACAGGCUACGUAAUGAGCCGACGAGGACAGGCCCGUCUCAUGCAGAAAUUAAAAUUAACGAUAGGCUCAUCGAGCUAUAUUUACGGGGAGAGCUCAUGUGGAGGCAGCGGUCCCGUAUUGAAUGGUAGUCCGCUGGAGAUCGUAAUACUCAUUUUUUUCAUAUGCGAGCAUCGAUGAGGCGUAGGAAAAAUCUGAUAAAAGCCUUGCAAAGGGCUGAUGGCGAGCUCACAGAGGAUAUGACGGAGAUGCAGCAGCUAGCCCUGGACUUCUACAAAAAUUUGUAUACGUCAGAAGGAGUACAGGGAGUUGCAGAAGUACUGGAACACGUCCCGGUCAAGGUGACACCAGCAAUGAACGCAGUUUUGAUGGCACCGUAUGAGGAGAAGGAAGUGAAAAUGGCCUUGUUCCAGAUGUUCCCUACUAAGUCCCCGGGACCCAAUGGCUUCCCUGCUCAUUUCUUUCAACGCCAUUGGGAUGUUUGUGGAGAAGCGGUCACCCGGGCCAUCCUAGGCAUUGUUCGUGGGGAGGAGAGCCCAUCAUGCGUUAACGAUACACUUCUGGUCUUAAUCCCUAAGGUAUCUAAUCCCACGUUACUGUCACAAUUUCGCCCUAUCGGUUUAUGUAACGUUUUCUACAAGAUUGCCUCAAAAGUGUUAGCAAACCGACUAAAGAUCAUCCGACCAGAUAUAAUCUCUGAGGAGCAGUCCGCCUUUGUACCGGGAAGGCUAAUUACGGACAAUAUUAUUUCAGCUUAUGAGUGCCUACACUUCGUGAAGAGGAACAGGGCAAAAAGCAAUUCCUUUUGUGCGCUCAAGCUUGAUAUGAUGAAGGCUUAUGACAGAGUUGAAUGGGAAUACCUUAGAGCUAUCAUGGAGAAGCUAGGUUUUGCUACCCCCUGGAUUACUGUCAUCAUGAACAUGGUGAGCUCUGUAUCCUUCUCAGUGAUGUUUAAUGGAAAAAAGUUGGAAGAAUUCAACCCUACACGUGGCAUUCGACAGGGAGAUCCCAUCUCUCCUUACCUUUUCUUGUUGGCAGUAGAGGGCCUUUCGUGCCUACUCAAAUCACAAAACCAGUCAUCCCAGCUCGGCGGCAUUAAGGUGGCACCAUCGGCCCCGUCGGUGAACCACCUUUUAUUCGCGGAUGAUAGCCUGCUGUUUUUCAGGGUAAGUGUUGAUGGAGCAGAGGAGAUAUCAAACCUAUUGGAGUCAUAUUGUAUGGCAUCGGGACAAAGAAUCAACAGGGACAAAUCAUCUAUAUUUUUCAGUAGGGAAACCCCGGAGAUAGUUCGUGCUGCGGUCAAGGGUUUCCUUCAUGUUCCAAACGAAUCUUUGAGCGAUAGAUACUUGGGGAUGCCUACGGAUGUGGGGCAUGCCAAGAAUGGUACAUUCAAAUACUUAAGUGAUCGUGUGUGGGACAAGGUAAAAGGAUGGAUGAGCAAGUGUUUAUCAGCGGGAGGAAAAGAGGUUCUAAUUAAAUCAGUAGCUCAGGCCAUACCAGUAUAUUCUAUGUCUUGCUUUAAGCUACCAAGAGGUUUAUGUGAGCAUAUAAAGUCUAUUAUUCGGAAGUUUUGGUGGGGCUGUAAAUAGGGCAAAAGGAAGCCGGCUUGGGUAUCGUGGGAUGUGAUGAUGCGGCCUAAACACUUGGGAGGAUUGGGGUUCAGAGAUUUAGAGUUGUUUAAUCUUGCUCUUUUGGCCCGUCAAGCCUGGAGACUUUUUAAUGAACCAUCUACUUUGAGUGCUAGAAUACUCAAAGCUAGCUACUUCCCCGAGACUACAUUGUUAGAAGCUCAACUUGGUGCUCGCCCCUCUCAGAUUUGGCGAGCAAUAAUCGAGGGAAGAGAUGUGAUGAAGCAAGGAAUCAUUAGAAGGAUUGGAAACGGACAGACCACCGAUAUUUGGCUGGACAAUUGGAUACCAAAAGAACACACACCAAGGCCCAUUACGUCCCUCGUGCAAGACCCGCCGACGAAAGUGGCGGAGCUGCUACAACCAUCCACCGGAGGGUGGAACGAGGACUUGGUAAGGUCUGUGUUUAUUCGUUUUGAUGUUGAUGCUAUUUUGAGAAUCCCAGUGUGUACUCGCAAUGUUGAGGAUUUUUGGGCAUGGUACCCUGACAAAAAAAGGAAGGUUCUCUGUCAGUUCGGCUUACAAAUUUAUGGUAAGCACAAAACUGCAGCGCGAGGAAUGGCUUGAGGGCAGAUCAGGAUCUUCUUCAGGUGAGGAGGAGGGCAAAGCCUGGUCAGCAUUAUGGAAGAUAUCUAUACCCUCGAAGAUUAAAAUUUUUAUUUGGCGCUUGGCACGGCACUCGCUGCCUACCACGGAUGUCUUACACCACAAAAAUAUGGCAACCCAGGACACUUGCCCUUUGUGCGGGUGUCAGGACUCAUGGCGCCAUGCUUUGAUGUCCUGUACAAUGUCAAAGUGUGUGUGGGCACUAUCAGAUGCAGAUGUGGUGCUGGCAAUGCCAGAACUAGAGGAACCAAGUGCAAAGAGGUGGCUGUUUGAGUAAUACAGCAGGUUGGACCAUGCAAAGUUUACAUCAAUGACUGUCACACUUUGGGCUAUUUGGUAUGCACGUCGAAAAGUUGUGUACGAGGCAAUAUUUCAAGCGCCACACCAAACUAUUUCUUUUGUGAACAACUUCCUCGCUGACUUGCAAGAGAUACCUAAGCCUAACAAGGUGGUUUCCAUGACAGCACGGGUGGCCGGAACUAGGCGAUGGCUCGCUCCAGGAACCGGAUCUGUCAAAGUUAAUGUGGAUGGAGCAGUAGCGCGAAGCAGAAGGGGCGGAGCAGUGGCUGCACUAUGUCGAGAUGAGCAGGGCAACUAUCUGGGGUCCUCGGCAGUGGUCUAUGGAGGUGUUACUGAUCCCACGAUCUUGGAAACCUUUGCUUGCAGAGAGGGAUUAGCUUUGGCAGAAGAUCUAAAUGUUCAUGAGGUGGUUCUGGCUUCAGAUUGUGAGGGAGUUGUCAAUGACAUCAAUGAUGGAACAAGUGGGGCAAACUCAGCAAUCGUACAUGAAAUUACAGCUCGUAGUUCUGGUUUUGCUUUCUGCAAGUUUAUUUUUGAACGUAGAAACUUCAAUUUUGAGGCUCAUAAUCUCGCAAAGUAUGCAUGUAAUCUAGGCAUAGGUAGACAUGUGUGAUUGGGUAUUCCUCAUAACCCAGCUAGUGUACCUAUGAACAUCUCUCUGAAUUAAUAAAGCUUGCGAGAUCUCUAAAAAAAAACGUGUUGCAGGCGUUACGCGUGUACGACUCGGAACACGUACGCGUAAAGAUCGAGCAGGAGUUGUGCCGAUCGACGACGUACGCCUUCUCCGCCUUCCACUCUGAUCUGGUAGGGUUCGUUGCUAAUCGGUCGGGGGCCGCGUCGGAUACGGCUCCUACUCCUACCUCGAUUCAGAUAUCGAUCGAGCCACGCGCUACAAAUAUAUAUAUCCCCGCACGACGUACGCCACAAACCACCAAAGCAAACAUAAGACGAAAUUGAGCGGAACCAUGAGCCAUCAGAUCGAUCUGAAGACGAGCGACUGCACCAUGGCCGCCGCCGGCGACGACGACGACUGGGUGUACAUCGACGGUGACCAAGAGAUGACGGCUUCACCGGCGCCGGCUGUCGUAUGUGCCUGCGCCCCGGCGCCUGACGAUGCUGCGACGGAGGUGGUGGUUGCCGCGGACGCUGCCGGUGAUGGCGCAGCGGAUGACGCCGACGCCGUGGAAGACGAAGACGACUGCUCUGACUACUCCAACGGAGGCCGCCUCGAGAAAGCCUACGAGUUGGACCAAGACCUCGACCAAGUAGACGAUGAGUCCGAGCGGCAUGAGGAGGCCACCCCCGCACCGGCACCGGCGCCGUCAGCGCACGGCUACAACUCUCGCCACUCAGCCUACAUAGCACGACUCUUUGCCUCGUCGUACACCUCUUACGACGGCUACCGCAACGGAGGUUACGACACCAGCUCUGGCUAUGAUGGCAACGGCUAUGGCGGCGGAGGUUAUGACAGCGGCCUCUCAGACUAUGACUACGGCGGCGGACGUGGAGGUUAUUACCGCGGCAUCUCGGGCUAUGACUACGGCGGCCUAGGUUACUACUACUACCUCUUAGGCUAUGACUAUGGCAUGAGCGGCGGAGGAGGUUACGGCAUCGGCUUUGGCUAUCGCUACGGUGGCGGCGGAGGCUACGGCGGCAUCUCAGACUAUGGAUAUCGCUACGGCCGCAACGGAGGUCAUUACUCUGACUUUGACUACGGCGUCCUUGGAGAUCGUUACGACGGCAGCUCUGGCAAUAGCUACGGUUAUUUGUUCAUCGCAUAGGGGUGUGGUGCUUGGUAUCGUUUCAUCGCAGUAGAGUAAUAGUAGUUGGUAAUUGCUGUUUGGAUCUAUAUUUUGUUACGUAGUAUUAUUAUAUCUUGUCAGAAAGAAUUAAACUAUUAGUUAUAUUAAGUGUGUUGCUGAACUCUUGAACUUAUUUGCUACUUCUCCGUUGCUAUGAAAUCCUAUGUGACAGUUUGAUACUUCCUUUCUUACACGUAUAGCACUUACUUCCUCCGCUUAAGAAUUAGUCUAGAGAUAUAGAUCCGUUUAAGCAUCAACUAAUUCAAGAUGGAGGGAGUAAUAUAUAACCCAAGUCCCAACUAAUAGAAGAUUAGCAUAGCCUAAGCGCGCGGCGCCCAUUGCCCAUAGAAGCGCCCAUCAUUAAAUUAGAUGUUGACAAUAUUGGAGGAUUUAUAUAAAGGUAAUGAUCGCUGCGCCCCUCUGGAUUUUUGUUAUAUGAAGAGAAACUAGUGUUGUUGUUGUAGAAAAUAAAGUUAGCUAAAUCUCAACGGCUGGCUUCAUAACAUCUCACCAGAUUCAGAUUUAGCAAACUUUAGUUGGGUUGCACUGUCAUGCAACAUAAAAAUUGUUGCAUUGGCACAUCCAGAUGCGCAUAAUGCAUUAAGUUUUAUUUUCAUGAAUAGUGAUAAUGGCACACCAGUUAACAAAUGCUCACUUAAAUAACAAAGCAAGGUUCUUAGCUCUAAGAACAUCCGUAUAUGGGCAAUUUCAGUCCCUCCUACGGUCUUGUUAAGAAGCCUUCAAGUCUCAUACACCAGUCAUGUAAAACUGCAAAAAGAACACGCAGACCAACAUCAAGCAACCUUUUCAGCCUACCAUUAGUGAACUUUGGACUUCCAGUGGAAAAUCCAGUGAAAAGCAGCUAGAGAUAUGCAGAUCAAUGUACUCUUUCCAAGACUAAAUUGUCCAGGGAAGAGAAAAAUAGCCUUUCAUGUAUUAAUUAUGUUAUAAAUCUUCUAGUAAAAGAACUUGUACUCUUUUUUUCAUAUACUCCCCCCACACUAGGUGAGCGGGUGGUGUGGGGGUGAAGAGAAGAAGAACAACACAACCAGCAUGAGGAGCACCCAAAAGGCUAGAACCAAAACCAAAAACCGAACAUGGCAGGCCACAGCAGCAUCCCACAAACUAGCAACCGUCACUCGGGCGCAAAACAGAACGUGAACCCUCCUCGGUUUGCCAUGAUAGAGUUAGUUUCAAGAGCCACGCAGAUAUCUUCAGGCGACUGGCGAUGCCAGGUCCCCUUACUGAUUUUUUUGUUCAUCUUCAGAGCUUGAUGCAGCUUCGCGGCUUCUGGGCGCAAGUGCCUGGAGAAUCUCACCUCCAUCCACCAACGCCUGUUUGUCCUCCGGCGAAUGGAAACCUUCCAACUAUUUCAGGAACACACAGUCCGUAUAACAAACAUACCAGUUCAGCAGGGGAACGAAUCCCCUUCCAUUCGAAACGAGCAUUAUUUCUAAUUUUCAGAAGAGCCAAGCACACAGCUGCACUCCAGUAAGGAUAUAUGACAGAAUUUUGUCGGAAGUCUAUAACCAACGAUGUGAUAAUGAAAGUACCAGAAUGUGAAGCGUAAAAUGGAUUUAAAAUAGUAUGAGAACAGUUACAUGGUAUCCUUUCCGAAAAAGUUCAGUCUUGCCAUGGAACUUCAUAAAUUAAAGAAAGUAACAUCUAAUGCAAACAUGAGAUUAAGCAGCCUAACUACCGAAGCUACUAGCAGCUAACUACAGAUGAACACGAACAUGCAAAGUUCUAAAAGAAGCUUACUCUUUCAGCACCACCAUCAUAGCACACUACGUAUCGCUGUAGUUUCCAAAACCAAGGAAGUCCAUCGCAUUGUUCCCACAAGCAAACAGAGUCAAGAUCAAUUCUGCCAAUCAGAAACCCUUUUGCACUCAACCGCAGCAUCGCACUACUGGGUUGGUGAUCAUAGGACGGAGAGG
This 56916-nucleotide long non-coding RNA is filed under the name Triticum aestivum (bread wheat). Its description in RNAcentral is "long non-coding RNA (TAES_LNC021357)". The record is from RNAcentral. Lineage: Eukaryota; Viridiplantae; Streptophyta; Magnoliopsida; Poales; Poaceae.